This 64897-nucleotide long non-coding RNA is filed under the name Gossypium barbadense (sea-island cotton). Its description in RNAcentral is "long non-coding RNA (GBAR_LNC003507)". The stretch from base 61680 to 61824 matches the Rfam family "MIR7502 microRNA precursor family". Lineage: Eukaryota; Viridiplantae; Streptophyta; Magnoliopsida; Malvales; Malvaceae. The record is from RNAcentral.
UAUUUAUAUCUUUCUUUUAUCGAACCAUUAAGGGAAUUUGGUUGAAUUUAUGGACUAACUAUAUGAUCUAUGAUACAUUUCAGGUUCUUCCUGAAGCAUACAAUUCCUUUAUAUCUGCAAUAGAGAAGAAGGACAACAUAAGAAUAAUGCCGAACAAAAUCAUGGCUGGUGCUCCACACCUCACUCCUGGUGCUUUUUUGAUCGGCGAUGCAUUCAAUACGCGGCAUGCUAUAACUGGAGGGGGAAUGACUGUUGCUUUAUCUGAUGUUGUGAUACUUAGGGAUCUUCUAAGACCCUUGCAUGAUCUAUCUGAUGCAUCCGCCAUUUGCAAAUAUCUCGAAUCCUUUUAUACUCUGAGGAAGGUAUUGUAGUUUCAUGUUCUAUAUGAAUUUUUUAAAGUGAAUAAAAAGGAACAAAAAAUGGCUUAAAUUUUCGCUUUUAACUGCAUGCAGCCAAUGUCAUCUACGAUAAAUACACUAGCCAAUGUCUUACACAAGGUAUUUAGUGCCUCGUCCGAUCCUGCGAUGGAGAAUAUGCAACAAACAUUGUUCGGGUAUUUGAAACUUGGAGGAUUUUUUUCAUCUGGAGUAUCAGCUAUGUUCUCUGGUUUAUGCCCUCGUCCAUUAAGCUUAGCAUUUCAUUUCUUUGUUAUGGCAAUAUAUGGUGUUGGCCAGUUGUUACUUCCAUUUCCUUCUCCCAAACGCUUGUUGGAUGGGGCUAAACUCCUUUGGGUCAGUAUCUCUGCCAAUCAUUUCUCAUAUAUCAUGAUCACUAACACGAUAAAAAUAUAUAAUAAUUUAAAAAUGACGUGUUAUUUUUAUUUUUUGUUUUUUCAGGUUGCAUCAAGCGUUUUUCUCCCCAUUAUACACUCUGAAGGAAUCAGACAAAUGUUUUUCCCUCUAACUGUGCCAGCAUAUUAUAGAACUCCCCCUAAGGGAAAAAAAAUCUAAGAGGAAACUCCAUGCAUUUGUAGUGAACAAUUCUAUAUUAAUUCGCAAUAGAUUUUCAUACUUUUUUCUACUUAGCAUUCUCAAGUAGGCUUGAUGGUCGUUUGUACUCAUAUUAUUGUUAUGUAAUUUCUAAAUAGACGUUUAGUAAUUCUUGUAUUGGUGUUAUUUUUAUGUAGCUUGUUUGAAAUAUUGAACUAACGAGUUAGCAUAUAUCCUAAAGCAUUUCUUGCGAUGGAGAGGGCUUUUCUAGAUGAGGAGCUUUGACAUAGGUGACUUGAGUGGAAACAUCUAUCCAAAUUUUGCACAAAUUUACAACCAAAGUGAAUAAAGUUGAGUCUGUGAUACAUUUUCGAUAAAAUAUCUUUUUAGCUAACUGACGGCAAAAGUGACAUUAAAUAUUCCAGAAAUAAUAUUUGAUGCUCCCCCAGCGUAUAGCAGAACUCCACCUGGCACUUUUUAUCAUACCAAAAAAUAAGUUAAUUUGUCUUUUCCCUUGGUUUUUUUUUUCCCAAUGAUAAUUUAUCCUUUUUGUUUUUGCAUUACAGGUGGUGGAGGUACAUCUAUCAUUUUUUGUCAAGUUUUUGUUUUUCCAUUACGUGAGGCGGGCAGCAGCCAAACUAAGGCGCUGGCAGGUUACUGCUCUUAAAAUAGAAAAUUUUCUAUUCCCACUCUUAAAAUAGAAAAUUUUCUAUUUAUUUUUUUAAAUUUUUUUAAAUUUUAAAUUAAUAAAGAUAAAAUUAUAUUUUGACUUUCUUAAAAUUGAUAAAAAUUUAAUUUAUUUUUUAAAAAAUUAUAAAGAUACAAAUUAUUAAAAUAGUAAAAUCGUACUUUACUAUCGUAAAAAUUACAAUUUAAUUUUUUGUGACAUUAAGGACUAAAUUGAAUAAAUUAAAAGUUGUUAUGAAAUUAUGCUAUAGAUUAAAAAUACAAGGUCUCUAACAUGAAAGUAUAUGAAAUCAAAUGUUGAUCCAAUACUAAAGAUUGAAAAGUAUGAGUAUUUCGAAUAUAGGGAAAAUGAAUAAACUACAAAAUAUAUUUGACUAUGUUUAUCAUGUGGUUGAGUGAAAACUAAUGCUAUUUUAUAAUUGAAUUAUAUAACGUAGAUAAAAACAAUGUCAGGCCGUCCUGAGAUAAAGGAAAUGCUAGAAUUGUAGAUAAGUAAUUAAUACGAACUAAUACGAUUUGUACAUUCAUGAUUCGAAUUCAAUAUUUACAAACUAAUAUGUCUCAUGGUUUAGUUUGUAUUUCAAUACUAUUGAACAUAUGUUUUAUCUUUAGAUUUAUAAUUUGUAAAUGUUUAAUUUAAAUAUGAUAUAAAAGUAUGUAAAUAAAAAAAAAUGUGAUCCUAAUAAUAUUAGUUAUAAUUUAAAAGAAGAGAGAGUUUAUUAUUUUUAUUUCACUUAAAAAUAGAAUUAAUUUAACGAAAAUUUGAAACAAUGGGUUAUUAUAGAGAACUAACCUAGUAAAAACUGUACUUUAUACUUUAUAAUUAAAAGUGAUCGAUAGAAAGUUGUUCUAAAAGUAUUAUUUAUUUUAUAUAAAAAAACCUUAUAACCACUAAAUAUAUAUUAAUAAAGAUUAAAUAUUUAAUCAAUAUGAUAAAAAUUUCGAACUAAUUUAAAAUUGUACGUGCAUAAGAACCACAUUUAUAUCGAUAUAUUCAUUUUAUAAUUAUAUAAAAGCUUGAGUAAAACUAUUAGCUUUACAGGUGAAUCCCAGGAACGAAGUAAGAAAAUUUUUAAGUAGAAUUAAAUUAUAUAUUUUUAUUUUAAUAAAAUGUAAUUUUAUUAUUUUUAAUAGUUAAAACAUCAAAGUAAAAUUUUAUUAUUGUUGAUUUAACAUUUUAUAAAGAAUGUGGUGGAUCCUUCUGAUAUUUUUAUUGAUACAAAAAAGUAGAGGCUCGAGUAGAGUACAGUGAUUUUAGUUGCCACUUGUGCAGAGGGAUAAGCCACUGACAUGACUGCAUACAUGAAAGAAGACAAAUUGAAUUGUAAGUUACUGCUCCUUUACGCAAAGAUUCUUUUCAGAGAGGUGAAGGACAAAAACCGGCGGUGCUUCUUCACUCACUAUUCAUUGGACCCCUUUCUUAUAUAAAUGUUGUUCUUCUUGAUUAUUCUUUCCAUACAUUGUUCUUAAAACAAUGGCUGGGCAGUUUAUAGUUGAAGUUGCAGGUGUUAUAGUCUUUCUUUUGGGGUUUGCUUUCUUAGUGAGAUUUUGGGGGCUGAGCAAGCUGAAAAGAGCAGCUUCAAUGGAGUUCCCAAAGGAAAACUGUGUAAACAAAAAUGGAAAUGGUGAGGGUGAGGGUGAGGGUGUUGGGACUACAUAUAUUAUCAUAGUCGGUGCUGGUGUUGCCGGUGCUGCUCUUGCCUAUUCUCUUGGAAAGGUCCCAAUUUUUUAUCACCUUUAUUUUAAUUUUAUAGAAUUAAGUUCCGAUCGACUUAGGAUAAUAAUAGUAAUGAACUCUAAAAAGAUCAUGGAGCCAUACGCAUGACCCUCGGAAAUAGUCUUCUUCAAUAUUUUUAUAGUACUAAAAAUAAUAUUAAAAAAUUUAUUCAACUAUAAUAACACAAAGAGUAUUUUCUGCUAUAAAAAUUGUUAAAAUAAGGCUUCACAAUAAAAUGGAGAAUGAGUUUUUUACAGAUAAUUUUAUUAUUUAUAUUGAGAGAGAUUGUUAAAAUUUUUUAUUUAGACUUUAUAAUAUUUAAUGAUUUUAUUUCCUUGAAAGAACAUUGUGCACAAUUUUAAGUAAACAUACUCAUGCCCGACCUAACUAGAAGGUCUACUCGAAAAGUGGGAGAGUUUGGGUAAAAAUAUAAAUUAAGAAAAUGAGUUUGGGAAAAAAAUGCCCUUUUAGAAAACAGGUUGAGUCUUCGGUAAGGUUUUUUCGGCCCGGCCCAAAUAUGUAUUUUUUUUUUCUGUUUUUUACUCUUUUUUUUUCUAUUCUUUUAUUUCUUUCACCAUUUUACUACUAUGUUGCUAUUAUUUUGUUGUUAUUGUAUAAUUCUUAUUUUAUUGUUAAUUUUAUUAUUAUUUUAGAUAUAUUUGCUUAUUAAGUUACACUUAUCUUAGUGUUAUUUAAGUAUGCAUUUUUCUUAAAUUUAUUUCCAAUUUGUUGAGAAACAUUUAUUUUAAUGUUUUUAGUAUUUUUAAUAUAUUAUAAUUUUAAAAAAAAGUGAUAUAAAAAAUAAUACAUGCCGAGCCCGGGUUUUAACAUUUUAUUUGGGUAAAAUUUUAGGCCUAUUUUUCGGGCACGUGCCUAGCAAAUGAGCCUAAAAUUUUAGUUGAGUCCGGCCCGGCCCAUAAGCAUCUCUAGUUUUAAGUAAUCAUAUGUUAUUUCUUCUUAAUUGUUCUUUUUAAAUAUGUAUUUAUGCUAUCUUUUUUUAACUUAUAUAUAUUUAGAAAUAUAAUUCGAACAAAAAUUUUAUAUAAUUUUUUGUAGUAUAACUAACAUACAUAAUAUACGUUAUAGGAAUUUUGUUAUGUAGCACGUCUAAUUUUAGUUUGUCUCUCUCAAAGUUAACAUCUUAGCUCCGUCACUGUUCAAUAUUAAAAAAUAAAUAUAAAAGAUACUUUAAUCAUGUCAAAUAAUAAAAAUAAGAAUUGAAAUUCCAUCUUAAUUAUAUUUAUUGUAGAAAUACAUAUAAAUAUCUACUUAAAUAGAGAUUUUUUAAAAUAUUGUAGGGGUGGGGAAUGCUCCAUUUAGCUUCAAUUAACAUUACAUUCUCUUCAAGUUUCCAUAAAAUCCUUGAAAAAUGGAUUUAACUAUGAUGUUAUACCUAAUAAUUCUUCUAUAAUUAUAUCUUGCAGGAUGGACGUCGAGUGCGAGUGAUAGAAAGGGACUUAAAUGCACCUAAUAGAAUUGCUGGUGAAGGUCUAUUGCCUGGAGGCUACCUCAAGUUAAUUGAAUUAGGCCUUGAAGGUAAAUAAGAAUAGUGGAUGCAAUAUAAUGUUUCAAUGUCAUUUCUUUAUAUAUUUUACUUUGAAUGUUGGCACUACAGAUUGUUUAGAAGAGAUUGAUGCUCAACGAAUUUUGGGUUAUACUCUAAACAAGGAUGGAAAGGAGGCUCUCGUAUCUUUUCCAUUUGAAAAGUUUCAGUCUCAUGUUGUAGGAAGAACUUUCCAUAAUGGUCGUUUCGUUCAAAGAUUGCGAAAGAAAGCCGCAUCUCUUCACAAGUACUUUCUCUCGUCUCUCCCAAUCAUUCUUUAAUUUCAAUAUAAUAUUUUAGAACAUUUAUCUUAAUGGAUUAAAUGAGUUGUAGUUGUUUUGAUCCAUUACUUCUGUUUAGACCUAUCAAUUAAGCUCGUUCAGUUGAUUUUGGUUUAAUUAAUCUAGAUCAAAUCACUCAAGUUUUAAAGCUAACACAUCAUUUUGGUUUUUAUCAUUUUAGGUUAAGGAUUAUUUUGGGUUCAGAUCAUUUCUAGUUUAGAUUUGAGUCAUUUUGGGUUCAAACAUUAGAGCUCCGGGUUUUAAAUUUUUGAGUCUGGUCAUUAUGAUUUCAUAUCGUUUUGGUUCUAGUCACUUCGAGUUUGGGUCCUUUCAAGUUAAUUUUUGAAUCAUUUUAGGUCUGAGUUAUUUUAAGUUCAAGUUAGUUUGGGUUAGGGUAAAAUUUUAUUUAAGUUUGAGGGACUCAAAUUGUGAACCCUUUAUAGUCAAAUCAAGUUGGAUCAAAUUUAAUUUCCAAUUAGUCUAGUCAAAUUUUUAAAUUCAAGUCAAAAUUGACAUGUCUGGUUCUGUUACUAUUACUUUGUUUCAACUUGUUUUAGUCAGAAAUUAUGCGUCUCUUUACAAGCUCCAAAUUCAUGUUUUGAUGAUAUGAUAACGCAGUGUAAGUUUAGAACAAGGGACAGUAACAUUUCUACUUGAAGAAAAUGGUAUUGUCAAAGGAGUGCACUAUAAAGAUAAGAGUGGUCAAUUGCUAACAGCUUACGCUCCUCUCACCAUCGUCUGUGAUGGUUGUUUCUCGAAUUUGAGACGCUCUCUCUGCCAUUCUAAGGUGAAAAAAAUGCUUACAUAAUCUUGUUAAAUUGGUUUAAUUCUUAUUUUAGUCACUCUAUUACGUUAAAAAUUUGAGAUUUAAUCCUAUUUUUUUUGCCAUAAUUUGAUUCCAUUAUUUUUGUGAUGAUAUUAGUAUGUCAAAAUAGAUCAGUUGCUUUUAUUAAAGAAUUGACUUAUUUUUUGGUCAUAUAGUCAAGGUCACAUUGAAAUCAAGUUAAUUAGGUUCAACCAAUAAUGAAAUUACAUGUUACUCGAAUGUUGUUAGUUUUAAUAGAAAUCUAUGUCAUUAUUUCAAUGGUAACAAUUAAUGGUGUCAUCAAAUUGGACCUACAAUAAAAUUAGAGAGACUAAAUUUUUCCAAAUUAAAAUAGAGGAAUAAAAUUCCAAUUUCAGCUUAGUAGAGGGACUAAAACCACAAUUAGACUUAAAUUAUAUGCUUUGAGAAAAUAUACAUAUAAAGGUCUCGAUUAUUUGUGCAGGUGGAUAUCCCCUCUUAUUUUGUUGGUUUUAUCUUGACGAACUGUAAACUUCCAAAAGAAGAAUAUGGAGUUUUUAUAUUAGCAGAUCUUUCACCUAUCGUAUUUUAUCAAAUUAGUAGCACUGAAAUUCGUUGCUUGGUGGAUGUUCCAAGUCAAAAUCUACCCUCUGUUUCCAAUGGUGAAAUGGCCCAUUACUUGAAAACUUUGGUGGCUCCCAAGGUAUAUUUAUAUCUUUCUUUAAUCGACUCAUUAAGGGAAUUUGGUUGAACUUAUGGACUAACUAUAUGAUCUAUGAUACAUUUCAGGUUCUUCCUGAAUUAUAUGAUUCCUUUAUAUCUGCAAUAGAGAAGAAGGACAACAUAAGAAUAAUGCCGAACAAAAUCAUGGCUGGUGCUCCACACCUCACUCCUGGUGCUUUUUUGAUCGGCGAUGCAUUCAAUAUGCGGCAUGCUAUAACUGGAGGGGGAAUGACUGUUGCUUUAUCUGAUGUUGUGAUACUUAGGGAUCUUCUAAGACCCUUGCAUGAUCUAUCUGAUGCAUCCGCCAUUUGCAAAUAUCUCGAAUCCUUUUACACUCUGAGGAAGGUAUUGUAGUUUCAUGUUCUAUAUGAAUUUUUUAAAAUGAAUAAAAAGGAACAAAAAUGGCAUAAUUUUUCACUUUUAACUGCAUGCAGCCAAUGUCAUCUAUGAUAAAUACACUAGCCAAUGUCUUCCAUAAGGUAUUUAGUGCCUCGUCCGAUCCUGCGAUGGAGAAUAUGCAACAAACAUUGUUGGGCUAUUUGAAGCUUGGAGGGUUUUUUUCAUCUGGAGUAGCAGCUAUGCUCUCUGGUUUAUGCCCUCGUCCAUUAAGCUUAGCAUUUCAUUUCUUUGUCAUGGCAAUAUAUGGUGUUGGCCAGUUGUUGCUUCCAUUUCCUUCUCCCAAACGCUUGUUGGAUGGGGCUAAACUCCUUUGGGUCAGUAUCUCUACCAGUCAUUUCUCAUAUAUCAUGAUCACUAACACGAUAAAAAUAUAUAAUAAUUUAAGAAUGACUUGUUAUUUUUUUUGUUUUUUCAGGUUGCAUCAAGUGUUUUUCUCCCCAUUAUACACUCUGAAGGAAUCAGACAAAUGUUUUUCCCUCUAUCUGUGCCAGCAUAUUAUAGAACCCCCCCUAAGGGUAAAAAAAUCUAAGAGGAAACUCCAUGCAUUUGUGCUGAACAAUCCUAUAUUCGCAACAAAUUUUCAUAUUUGUUUCUAGUUAGCAUUCUUAAGUAGGCUUGAUGGUCGUUUAAACUCAUAUUAUUUUUAUGUGUCUUGUUUAAAAUUCUAAAAAAACGUUUAGUAAUUCUUGUAUUGGUGUUAUUUUUAUGUAGCUUGUUUGAAAUAUUGAACUAACGAGUUAGCGUUUGUAAGUAGGUUCAGUAAGUAUUAUAUUCGUACUGCUUUUACUCAUUCACACACACACACACACACACAUAUAUAUAUAUUAUAUAUACUUUUUCCCUAAAAAAUUACCAAAAGAAUUGAAAUGAAACAAACAAGUUUGUAAAGCUCAAAUAAUUGGAUAAUCAUCGAGAGGGGGUGAUUUAGUGAAUUCUUUUACCAAGCUGAAAAAGGUAGAGAAAAAUUGUUACAUAAGAUUUAGAGAGAGGUUUCAAUAUCACUUGCUAAUCUCUGCAACUCCAUAUCUUUUAUAUGGCUAAGAUAAAACAUUUAAUCCUCUUAAAGUUAUUCUAUCCAUAAGCCUUAAGUACUCCCUUUUACUUAAAGAGAAAUGGUGCAAACAAAUAUGAGCCUCUAAAAGGUGAAGGCUCUCUAGAAUGUAUAUAAAAACUUGAAGAAAAAAAUUCUACUUAGCCCACGAAAUCUAUACAAAGAGAAAUAAAUGAAAGUUCUAUUGGAACUUAUUGUAAAAUCUCUGCAUUCAUGCUUGGAUUUUCUCUUUUUGCUUUUUGUAGUGUUAUUGAUGUAUAUUUAUACCAAUAAAUCGGUUUCUAGCUACUUGAAUUUGUCGGCAUGAAAUAAGACUACAGGAAUGUGAAAAACUCAUGUUUGAAAAGAUAAGAAAAAUGUAGAUGUUAGUCGAGGGGAUUGAUCCUUUCCCCUUUUAUAUUCUUCAUUUAGCUACUAGAAGGGGGAUUGAUCUUGGACAUUGCUCCCAAGGAUGGAUCGUUGUGUAAAAAUACAUAAAAGUAAUUGUAGAACACUUUCAAAUGAGCUUUAUCAACUAAAAAAACAUUGUAAACAUUUUAAACUAGCUGCACAAAUAAUCGAGACCUUUAUAUGUAUAUUUUUUCAAAGCAUAGAAUUUAAGUCUAAUUAUAUUUUCUCAAAGCAUAGAAGGUAAAAUAUGAUGCCUUGUAGCCGAGCAUGAAAAAACAAAUUUGAGAGCUCUUUUUUUAUGUAGUCUUGCAUGCUCAGUUAGGUUAGAUACAUAUUAGGAGAUCUAUAUAAAUAAUGAAGGCAUGGCUUAUAUAAUGGAAAGUAUAAAUUGCAAAUUAACAUGAGCACUAUUUAAAAGUGAUGAUUUAUCAUCUUACAAAUUUAAUUAUUCAUAAGUAUUAUUCAAAUUAAAAAUGAUGAUUUAUAAUCCAAUGAAUACAUUUCUAUAGGACAUGUUUCUCCCAAGGAGUAUGUUCAAUAUGAAUAGUUGUGGCUCUUCAAAUUGUAUUCAUUGAAUGCAUAUAAAUAGAGGCAUUAUGGUACUCAUAAAAAUACAAUUACAAUCAAUCUUAUUUUCAAAAACUAGAGCAAGAGUUAGGGAAUUCCUCGAUUUUGCUAAUCAAAGAAAAUUUAAAACUUCGUUGAAACUCGAGAGGACCUUUGUCUUAACCCUCUUACAAUUUUGUGUGGGGGUAAAUAGUUCUCUUUGAAAAGCAUCAUUCGUGCCUCGAAUUCUACUGUUUAUUUCCAUUCAAGUCUCCAGUUCUAUCGUCUCUACUCAAAUUUUCAACAUUAUAAGGGUAUGUUUGAGGGGUAAAUGAGGUAGUCACACAAUAAACUCUACAACAUUGUCUCCAAUACCUUUUAUUCCUUUUUAUUUUGUUUUUGACCUUUUAUUUAUGUAGCCUUGCUGUUGACAUAAGUUUGUUUAUGUAGGCAAAGUAAAAGUUGCGGUGAUUUGUAGUGGUGGUUGACAUCGUAGGGGUACGAAGAGCACUAAAAAUGAUGAUGCAUAGGGGUCUCUUGGAGAGUUCUUUGGGAGGGAUUCGGAACAACUUUAGCACGUAUCAUAAAGCAUUUCUUGUGGUGAUGACGACGAACUUUGAUAUGGGUGACUUGAGUGGAAACAUUCAUUCAAGUUUUGCACAUGCUCACAACCGAGUGAAUAAAGUUGAGUCCGUAACACAUUACGAGCUUAAUAUAUUCCUCGAUAAAAAAUCUUUUAAGCUAACUGGAUGAAAAAAGUAGCAUUAAAUAUUCUUAAAAUGAUCUCUACUUUUGAUGAACCACCACCAGAGAUCAUGGUCACCCUUAAAACUGAUAUGAAAGGAUUUGCCUUCCCACAUUUAGAGAAAAUUCUCCCUUGCGCUCCAAGCAUGCACACGUAUAUGUAAUUUUUACCAACUUUUCUAAUGCUAUUUUUGUUAGAAAUAUUAGUAUUGGUAUAUAUUAGAAAUGUCGGUAAAAACUUAAGAAAUUUGAUACACCCCCCAAGCGUAUAGCAGGAUACCCCACGUUUAAUUGUUGCUUAUUAAGUUCUUCUAUCAUACCAAAAAGUAAAUUAUUUUGUCUUUCCUUUUUGUUUCUUUUAAUGCCUUCUUCUUUUGUUUUUUUUCUUCCCAAUAAUAACAUAUCCUUUUGUUUUACCAUCACGUGUGGUGGAGAGUAAUUACAACUUCAUGGAUAAAAUGUGGGUAUUUUUCCACCCAAAUAACAUCACAAAAAAUAGACCAAGUCUAGUCAUUUUUAUCAACUGCGUUGCUUUGCGGUCAUAGUGAUGGCUACUCUUUUUUACUGUCUUCCAAAUUAGAGAUGAUUUGGACAGCAUCUCCCUCAACAAAAUAGAAUAAUAUCCCAACACGUCCUUAUUCACUCACCCUCCAUUCCUCCCCUAUAAAUCAUGUUCUUCUUGAUUAUUCGUUCCACACAUUAUUAUUAAAUUAAUGGCUGAGCAGUACAUAGUUGGAGUUGGAGCUGUUAUAGCCUCUCUUUUGGGGUUCCUUUUCUUGUACUGCAAUUCCCUCACAAAAUUUAGGGGACUGAGGAAGCUAAAAAGAGCAGCUACUCCAAAGGGGAACAGUGUAAACAAAACUGGAAAUAGUGAGGGUGUUGGCACUACGGAUAUUAUCAUAGUCGGCGCCGGUGUUGCCGGUGCUGCUCUUGCCUAUUCUCUUGGAAAGGUCCCAUUUUUUCUCCUUGUUCUUUAUUUUGUUCUACCAUAGUUUUAAUCAUCUUAUUUUCCUCUUCCAGCAUAUAACAAUUACUACCUUCUUUUUUCUUUUUUUUUUGUAAAAAUACCAUGAUGGCCUCUUAUUAGGAGUCAACUUACAUAUAUCCUUAUUUAUUCAAAAAUUUGAUAAAUUAGUCUCUUCUCUUAUUAGGAGUCAACUUACAUAUAUCCUUAUUUAUUCAAAAAUUUAAUAAAUUAGUCUCUUUAUGUUAAAUUAAGUAUGAUAAAUUAGUCUCUUUAUGUUAAAUUAAGUAGCAAACGAAUUAUUUCUAUUAAAAAUUAAUUAAUCUAUUUUUAUGGUUAAAAUUAGUGUGGCUAAUGGAAUAAUCAAAUAGUUAUACAUAACAUGCCAUGUGUACCUCACGCUAUAUGUUUUUAAAAGUAGGAAUUGAUGGAUUUUUUAACAGAGAACCAAUUUGCUCUUUGAUCUAUUGUAUAGGGACUAAUUUGUUUAUUUUUUAGUAGAGGAGACAAAUGUAAUCCGACUCUUAGUACAAGGCUUCCAUGAUGUCUUUACCAUUUUACCAUUUUUUUAGGAACAAUUACUAAUUAAGUUUGCAUUUUAUUAUUAUUAUUACUAUUAUUAUUAUUCAUUUUUUAGGAACAAUUACUAAUUAAGUUUGCAUUUUAUUAUUAUUAUUACUAUUAUUAUUAUUAUUAUUUAUAGACAUUUUAUUAUUAUUGGUUGAAGUAUUAUAUGCAAAGAUAAUAUUUUGAUAAGUAUUGAUCUAAAAGAAUAAAAAAUUACUUGACUCAUGAACGAGUAUAAUCUAAUUAAAUAGGUGAUCGAAUUUGUUGAUCCGGAUUUUAAUUAAAUAGGUGAUCGAAUUUGUUGAUCCGGAUUUUAUAAUUUUUUUAUUUUUAUUUUUAAAAAUUUUUAAUAAUAUAUUUAACUUAAAUAAGAUAAACAGAUGGAUGAAAAAUUGAUGAUUUAACUAAUUUCACGGUGAAUUUAGAAAACAUCAAAUAUAGUAUUAGUAACUAAGAAUAUAUUUCCCUACCCCCCCACCAUUCUCCCCUCCUCCUCCCUUACCGUCCCUCCCUUUCACCCUCCACCCAGACGCCGACCCUCUCCCUCUCCCUCUCCCUCUCCCCACCGACCACCACCGCCGAGAGAAAGGGGCUUAAAUAUGGGCGUAUAUCAGUUUUAUAUAAUAAACCUCAAUCGUAGACCACUUUUGUGCUGGAUAUGUUGGUUAAUAGUCACUUAAUACUUCUUUUUCGUUAACAUGAGAGAAGCUUGAGGAAAGAAAAGUAAGAAUAUAGCAGUGGUUACUUCAUUCUACAGUUCCUAGACCAUUUGUGUAGUUGGGAAUUGUCCCAAGUCACCAUUGAGUUUCAUUCUACAAAUCCAAACUAGGUUACUAAGUUGCAAUUUCUCAUAAGCUAAGCCAAACUUCUACUGUAAUUGUAGUUUGUUUGCCAUUUUUUUUUCCCUUCAAAAGUCAUUAAUACUUUGAUGGUAACUUGAUCUCCUUGGGUACAGAAGUGUUUUAGUUGAAGGAAGUUGAAGGAAAAAGGACAAUCAAAACCUGUAAUUUUUCUGCUAAUGUAAGAUAUGGGGGGAGGGGAGAGGGAGAGAGAGGGAGCCAAGAGGGGUGGCCGGGUGGGGGAGGAAAAUAUUUUUAUUUUUUUAGUGUUAAUAUAAUUUUUAAAAUUAAUAUUAACAUAAAUAAAAUUAUAAAAUUAGAAUGUUGAUGUGGCACGAUAUAAUUAGUUAUUGAGUUUUUUUUUAUCAUGUUAAGAUUUGAAAUUAUUUGGGUAAUGGAGCAAUAGUUUAAGUUUCAAUUCUAACUAAAAAAAAAUUUUAGACACCAAGUUGAAAAAAGAGGUAUUGUUUAGAGUGCAAUUUGUCAAUUAAGUCUUUUUUAUAAAUAUAAUUUAAGCACAUUCCAUGACUUGAUAAUGCCGUUUUGUAUUUUUGUUGUUGUUGAAAAUUUACUACUACAAAUAGAGUACAUACACAAGUAUAAUAUAUGCCCAAGCAAUUAUAGUGUGGAAUUAAACUUAUACAAGGACGAAAAUAGAAAAACAUACAUGUCAUAUGCACAUGAUGGAAUAAGAAACUCACGUAUCGCAAUUAUAUAUGAUAGAACUCGAAUCUGGGUACUUAAAAAUCCAGAGCCUCUCACUUAAGUAACAAUACCAAAACCUCAUCUGUCUUCAAAUUUGAAUUUAACAUGAUAUCAUACGUAACAAUUCUUCACAAUUUUCAUGUUACAGGGCGGACGUCGAGUGCAAGUGAUAGAGAGGGACUUAAAUACGCCUAAUAGAAUUGUUGGUGAAGUUCUAUUACCAGGGGGCUACAUAAAGCUAAUUGAAUUAGGCCUUGAGGGUAAACAAGAAAAUUGUGGAUUUAAAUAGUAGAUGCAAUAUAAUGUUACAAUGUUAGUUAUUUAUACAAUAACUUUUUUUUUUUACUUUGAAUGUUGGUACUAUAGAUUGUGUAGAUGAGAUUGAUGCUCAAGAAUUUUUGGGUUAUAGUCUAUACAAGAAUGGAAAGGAGACUCCCAUAUCUUAUCCAAUGGAAAAGUUUCAGUCUCAUAUUUCAGGAAGAACCUCCCAUAAUGGUCGUUUCGUUCAAAGGCUGCGAAAGAAAGCUGCAUCUCUUCACAAGUAUUUUCUCCCCUUCCUCUUAAUCAUUUUUCAAAUUCAACAUAAGAUGUCUAACGUUUGUCUUAAUAAAUUAAAUGACUUGCAUUUUGUUUUGAUCAUUAGACUUGGCAAUUGAGCUAGUUGAAUAGAUUUUGGGUCAUGUCAAUCUAGAUCAAGCCAUUCAAGUUUCAAAAUUCUUUGAGUAAAUAUGGUAUUAGUGUGUUUAGAUUCAAGUCACUUUAGGUUUGGACUCGAGUCAUUUUGAGUUCAGAUUAGAAUGGUUUGAAGCUCGAGUUUUUUGGGUCGAGUUAUGAUAGGUUUAUGUCAUUUUAGGUUUUAACCACCUCAAUUUCUGGUCUUUCAAGUUGUUUGAAUCAUUUCAAGUUGGAGCGAAAAAUUUAUGUUAGGGUGAAAUAAGGUUCGAGUUAGAGAAGUUCAUGUUGUUGAUCCUUUAUAAUAAAAUCAAGUCAAGUUUAGGUUUGAAUUGAUUAAGUUAGGUUUUAGGUUAAGGUUAAAAUUUAAAAGUUUACUUCUAUAUGUAUUACUUUGCUUCAACUUGUUACAACAAUUUAUUAGAAAUAAUACACUUGAAAUUAUACUUUUCUUUACAAGAUCCAAUUUGAUGCAUUGAUGAUAUGAGAAUGUAGUGUAACUCUAGAACAAGGGACAGUAACAUCUCUUAUUGAAGAAAAUGGUAUUGUCAAAGGAGUGCAUUACAAAAAUGAGAGUGGUCAAGUGUUGACAGCUUACGCUCCUCUCACAAUUGUAUGCGAUGGUUGUUUCUCAAAUUUGAGACGCUCUCUUUGUUAUCCUAAGGUAAAAAUGCUUAAGAAUUAGUGUUAAAUUGGUCUAAUUAUGGUUUUCGUCUCUCUAAUUUUAUAUUUCAACAUUCUACUUUAAUUUAGCUUAAUUUGAUUCAUUUAUUUUUUUUAUAAUGUUUUUAUAAUGUGCAAAAUGAUAACAUCAUUAGUUGCCUUUUGUUAGAGUGAUGAAGUAAAAUUGUUUUUAUUUUUAGUCCAUCACAGUGAAGGCCACUUAAAAUUUCUAUCAACCAUAUUCAAUUAACAAUAAAUUUAUAUGUUGACAUUAAAUUUUGUUUUUUUUAAAAUGUCAAUGUCAUCACUUUAUGGCAACAAUUAUUUGUGUUAUCAAUUUGCAUCUACUAAUAACAUUUAAAAGCAAGAGGCCAUUUUUUCUUUCCAAAUUAAAGAAAAGGGAUUAAAUUCCAAUUUUAGGAUAAUAGAGGGACUAAAACUUUUAUUAGACUUGUUAAAUUCUAUUCUUUGAGAAAAUGUAUUAAGGUCUAUUUAUUUUUUUCUGCAGGUUGAUAUACCCUCUUAUCUUGUUGCUCUUACACUGACAAACUGUAGCCUUCCAAAAAAAAAUUAUGGAGCUAUUAUAUUGGCACACCCUUCACCAAUCAUAUGGUAUCCAAUUAGCAGCACUGAAAUUCGUUGCAUGGUGAAUGUUCCUAGUGAAAAGGUACCUUCAGUUUCCAAUGGUGAUAUGGCAUGUUACUUGAAAACUCUGGUGGCUCCCAAGGUAUAUUUUGAUCUUUAUUUUAUUCAUUCAGUAGGGGAAUUUGGCUUAAUUUAUGGACUAACUGUAUGGCUUAUAAUAUCUUUCAGGUUUUUCCUGAAGUGUACAAUUCCUUUAUAUCUGCAAUAGAGAAGAAGGGUAACAUAAGAAUAAUGCCGACUAAAAUCAUGGCUGCUGCUCCACACCUGACUCCUGGUGCGCUUUUGAUUGGAGAUGCACUCAACAUGCGGCACCCUAUAACCGGAGGGGGAAUGACUGUUGCUCUGUCUGAUGUUGUUAUACUUAGGGAUCUUCUAAGACCCUUGCAUGAUCUAUCCGAUGCAUUCACCAUUUCCAAAUAUCUCGAAUCUUUUUAUACUCUGAGGAAGGUAAUGUAGUUUCAUGUUUUAUAUGCAUUUUGAAAGUGAAUGGCAAUGAUGAAAACGGUAUAAUUUUGCCCUUUAACUACAUGCAGCCAAUGUCAUCUACAAUAAAUAUACUGGCUAAUGUCCUACAGAAGGUAUUCAGUGCCUCAUCCAAUCCUGCAAUGGAGAAUAUGCAGCACACCUUUCUCGGGUAUUUGAGACUUGGAGGGGUCUUUUCAUAUGGAAUAUCAGCAAUGCUCUUUGGUUUAUGCCCUCGUCCAUUAAGCAUAGCAUUUCAUUUCUUUUCCAUUGCAAUAUAUGGCAUCGGCCGAUUGUUACUUCCAUUUCCUUCUCCCAAACGCUUGUGGGAUGGGGCUGAAUUCCUUUGGGUCAGUAUAUUUACCAAACAUUUAUAUAUUAACAUGAUAUAAAUAUGUAAUAUCUUAAAUAUGAUUAUGAUAUAGGAUCAUAUUAAUAAAAAUAUUUUCUUGUUUUUCAGUUGGCAUCAAGUAUUCUUCUCCCCUACAUAUACUCCGAAGGAAUCAGACAAACAUUCUUCCCUCUAACUGUGCCAGCAUAUUAUAGAGCUCCCCCUGAAAAUGAGGACAAAAAAAACUUCAUGCAUUAAUUAGCAGUAUUUGUUGGAAGAAUUCUAUGUUUAUAACAAAAUCUCAUAUAUCUGUUACUUGCAUUCUUAGGUAGGCUAGCUGGAUAAUCUUCUGUGUUCGUGCUAUUUAUAUAUGUGAUGUUUAAAAUGCUAAAUAAAUGAGUUAGCUUUUGCAUGACUCAAACACUAGCUAUAAUGUCUUUAGGUGCUUUGCUGGUUCAGGCCAUGUUGAACUUUGUGUGAAUUUGUAGCACUUCUAUAAGAGAUUUGUUUUCAAUAAAUUUAUAUUGCCGAGUAAACAAAAAUAAGUCAGCUUUUUCUAUUUAGUAUAUUGAUCCGUAUAAACACUUAAAUUAUACAAAUAUCUCAUUCGAGCAUAAGAGCAUUGAUUUUAGGCUGAUUAAUUGAAAUUUCUUUCUAAUUAAAACUCAUAUUAUCGUAUUAAUUUAUGCCAUGGAUUCCCCUAUUAGAUUUGACUCUAAUCCGUUAGAUAUAUAUUGUCUUAUUUCUAGGAUUGCAUGCAACUCCACUUAAUUACGCAAGAUCUACCCUUAAAUAGGGUUUAUUCAACCUCCGAUUUAAGCACAUCAAACAUGGAUUAAUAAUCUAAAAAUAUUAAACCAAGAAUUAAGCACGCAUAAUUAAGAACAAAAAACUAAAUGUAACGACCCAAAGUUUAUGAGUAUCGGAAAAGUGUUUUUCCAUGUUACCAUUUUUAUAAGAUAAAUUUGUAAAUAAUUAUUAGAAAUAUUUACGAAGUAAGUAGUGUGAUUAAUUAGAUUUUUGGCUAAGUGAAUUAGCUUGAAUUAAGGCUAAUUUAGUGAAAGGACUAGAUUGAAUAUAGGGUAAAAGUUUAAUUAUAAACUAUAGAAAAGUCAAGAGACUAAAUUAGCAAAUAAGCCUUAUGUAACAAGUGAAUGGUAAGUAUAAAUACAUGAGUAUUAUUUUAAUUGGUACAAAUGUAUGUAUAUAUAUGUAUUUGUUUAUUAUUUAAGAAAUAAUAAUUAUAAUUAAAAAUAUAAUAUAAUAAUAUAAAGUAAAAUAAAUAAAAAGAAUAAAGAAAUAAAAGAAAGAAACAGAACAGAGUAGUAACGAAAAUUGAAGGAAAGAAAAAGGGAAAGAAAAGAAAAGGAAAUUUGGAGUUUUAAGUUUUAAGCUUUAAGUGGUAAGUCAAUUUAAUUUCUUUUCUUGUAAUAUUGGUGUCUAUGGAAUCCUAGGAAGAGAUACUAUUUAAGUUAUGUUAAAAUUUAGAAAGUUAUUGAAUUUUUAGAUGUUGAUUAAGUUGAAUAAAUUGAAGAAUUAUGGGUUUAAUUGAUAGGAAUUCAAGUUAGAAGUGGGAGAAGGAUUGAAUUGUAAAGAGAGAUAUAAGUUUUGUCAUAGUAGAGAUUAAAUUGUUUAAAUUGUAGAAUUGAUGUUUUAUAUUGAAUAUUAAGAGUUGGAAUGGUUUAAAGUGAUAAUUGAAUGAAAAUAUGAGAGUUAUUUGAAGAGAAAGAUUGGUUAUGGUGGAAGGACUAAAUUGGAAUUUAUGUAAAAGUUACAUGGAAAAUAGAAGAGUGUGUUAUUAAAUGAUAUGUAUUGAUGAUUUUAAAUGGUAAUUUUUCCGUAACUAACGUAGCACCAGAAACGUCAUCAAAGAAGGAAAAAGAGAAAGUGAGCGAAGAUAACGAGUAAACUCAAGAACCACGGUUUGUAUUUCUAUAACCAAACUUAAUAGUUAUUUUGAUACAUAUUAUUGAUAUUAUGUAUGGCUAUUGAAAUUAAGAUAAGUAUUGAUAUUGUAGUAUAGUGUUGAAUUAUGGAUGUCGAAACCAUCUUUCAAAAUUUUAAUUUUAACAAAAAAUAGGGGAAUCGACUGUUUGAAAAUAAAACGUGGAGUCGCCACCGAUCCUUUUGUUUUGGUGUGAUCAGAUCACCUAAGAAUUUGGUUAUUUUAAUAAAACAUUUUUGAUUUACUAAAACAACGAUUUUGGUUUACGAACUUUUGAGAAAACGGGUUCGGGAGUCGGUUACGCAUGAGGAAGGAUUAGCACCCUCACUACGCCCAAAAUUGGUACCAAAUCGAUUAAAUGCUAUCCUUAUGUAAAAUGUUUUUGAAAUAUGGUUCUUGUUAAUAACAUUUGAAUAACCCGAGUUGGUUGCCAAAAAUCUUUUUGUUUCGACGUCCGAAAGUUUAUAAUUUGAAAUUAACAAAAGGAUGCCCAACUAUUUGGUCCAACGAAAGACCGAAACCCAGCACAGUAGGGCACGAUUCCUCGAAUUUUCGAACAUCAGACAUUGCCUCACCUUAGAAAAUACGAGUGAAAUUCCGAAGAGAUAUUCGAUUAUUUUGAACAAACGGGAAAUUGCAACCCAGCACGAUAGGGUACUAUUCCCCGAAUUGCCAAGCAUCGAAUAUCGCCUUCGUUUGAAAGGGUUUUUAGAAAACGUGAGUGAAAUUUCGAAGGAAUCUUCGAUUGUUUUGAAAAAAAUGAGAAAUCACAACCCAACACGUUAGGGCACGAUUCCCGAAUUAUCAAACACCGAGUAUUGUAUUCGUUUUGGAAGGUUUUUAAUAAAUACGAGUGAAAACAUAAAGGAAUAUUCGAUUGUUUUGAACAAACGAGAAAUCACAACCUAGUACGAUAGGGCACAAUUCUUGAAUUAUCAAACACCGAGUAUUGCCUUCGUUUUAAAGAAUUUUUAAUAGUUGUGAAACUAGCUUAAAACGCAUUAAUUCGAUUUGAAAUAAGACGAAAUUAAUCAUAAAAUUUGGAUUUUAUAAAACCAUAUUUCGAAAAUCAAGCGGAAAGCGAUGAUAUUGGGUAAUAUGUGUACGCAUAAAACACGACAACGGAAGAGCGGGGGGGGGAUACAAUUUAUUUAACCAACUAACAAACAUUUACAAUUAAGUACAACUAACUUGAAAAUAUAGCUGAAUCUCAAUUAACAUGGCAAUAUAAAAUAAUGAACAAAUAAAUAAUGCAACGAUAACAUGCAUGGGUGAACAACGAUUGAUACAAUAAUACAUAAGAAGGCGAAUUUGUAACACCCCUUACCCGAGACCGUUUCCGGAGUCGAGCAAAAGGCAUUACUUAGCUUAUCUUACCAAUUCGGAGCAUAAAAACUAGGUUUGAAAAUUUAUUUCACUAUUUACAGCAAAUCUGUCCAAUCGUGCAGCAGUUGCUAAAUUAAUUAUAACUUGAGCUACAGAACUCGAAAUUUAAUUCCGUAAAUUUUCCCUGAAACUAGACUCAUAUAUCUACUCACCAUAAAAUUUUUAGAAUUUUUGGUUCAGCCAAUUAGUACAGUUUAUUAGUUAAAGUCUCCCCUGUUUCACCAUUCGACUAUUCUGACCUCUUGUUACUAAAAAUAAGUUUUCUCACUGUAGGAUUUUCAUAUGAAGUUCUUACUUGUUUCUACAGAAAAUAGACUCAUUAAGGAAUCUAAGCAUGUAAAUUUAAACUCAUAACCAUUUUUGUACAAUUUUUAAUUAUUUUCUAAACUCAGAACAGUAGACUCCAAAAACAGUUCUGACCCUAUCUUACUAAAAUUCACAUAUAUUAAAAUAUAAAUUUCCUUUUUCUACACCGUUAUUUUUCCAUGAAAAUAGACUCAACAAGAUUUAAUUCCAUAUAUCAUUCACCCUCUAAUUCAUUUUAUACUAUCUUGGGUGAUUUUUCAAAUUCACGUCACUGUGCUGCCUGAAUUCUGUUUCUUUGCAAAAUUUUAUCCUUUCAUGAUUUCCAUGCAUAAUUUAUCACCUAAUCUUUCAUAACAACAAACACCUUCAUCCUUAACCAUUUUAAUGACCAUACAUCAUCAAAUACUUACACAUCACUCAUUAGCAAAAUCAUCAUUACAAACAUACAAAAUAACUAAAUCCCUAUACAUGCCAUAACUCAAACGUGUUUCGAUAUAAAAUACCGAGCAGUUGUAGUUGAUAGUGUGGACGAUCUCCGACUUCUUUAGGAUCCUUGAAGUAGCUUUGCAAUACUAUAAGAGAAAGAGAAAUAAAAGAAGUAAGCAUAAAGCUUAGUAAGUUUACUAGCAAAUAAAUAACAAUAUUUAACUUAAAUAAUUAAACUCAAUGUCUAUAUCUCUAGUUUACUCUUUAGUUAAUCUCAUACUAGUUCUCUUACUUGUUUACUUAGAAUACUUGUGUGCAUAACUUACUCAAUCCUUGCUGCAUCGUUGAACAUCAAUUGAUAGUAUAAUAAGUUCUUAAGUCUUACAACUUACCUGAGCUUGCCAUUUAUGCUUUAAACUGAACUUUCAUGAACAUGAUUCGUUUACAAGCCCGUUGAGCUACAUUGGAAUAAUAAGGAUACUCGGGUCUCUUCUGAUAAUAACAUGCCAAAGCCAUGUCCCAGACAUGGUCUUACAUGGGAUGUUCUCGUGAUGGUGCCCAUGCCAUGUCCCAGACAUGGUCUUAUAGGGGACCUCUCAUCUCGGUGCCAACGCCAUGUCCCAGACAUGGUCUUACAUGGGACCUCUCGUCUCGGUGCCCAUGCCAUGUCCCAGACAUGGUCUUACAGGGGACCUCUCAUGAUCUUAAGGAUGCCAAUGCCAUGUCCCAGACAUGGUCUUACAUGGGAUCUCUUUACCCAAAUGUCAUGACAUUCGUAUCCAGUACCAUCCUUAUGUAUCAACGGGACUUUUAAAUUUUAAUUCUCUAUCAUUUCAUGCUUGGAUCAUCAUCAAAUAAAUUCAUAAAAUAAAUUCAUAGUUGCUGGAAAAUAACAGCAUUGAUAAUAAAUAUUGAAAUAUUGCAUUUAUUUACCGUAAACUUACCUCGGUACCAAUUAUAGCCAAAUUCACCAACUUAGUCUUCAACUUUAUUCUUCCCUUUGUCUAACCUCGAGUUUCGUACUUCUUGAUCUAAAAUAGUAAAUUUAACUUAUUUAAUAAUCACAUUCAUCAAAACAGCCCUCGACUCUAACUUUUUCAAAAUUACAAUUUUGCCCCUAAACUUUUAUAUAAUUACAUUUUUGCCCCAAGGCUCGGAAAUUAAACUUCAUCUCUUAUUCUUAUGUUUUAUAACAUUCUGAACAUUUUUCCCUUCUAUGGCAACAUCAAAUUCCCACUCUAACAUGUACUUAUGAACAUUAGGUAUUUUUACCGAUUAUGUCGUUUUACUCGUUUUCACUUAAAAUCGCUUAGCAAAAGUUUUUUAACAUAAUUUAUAGCUUCAUAUUCUAUCAUAAAACAUCAAAAUAAACACUUUUCACCUAUGGGUAUUUUUCCAAAUAUAAACCCUAGGUUAAAUUAUUGCUAGAAUAAGCUAAAUUAAGCUACCGGGAUCUCAAAAACGUAAAGAACAUUAAAAACGGGGCUUGGGAUCACUUACUAUGGAGCUUGGAAGCUUGAAAAACCUAACUAUGGCUUCCCCCCUUGCUGAUUUCGUUCAUAUGAAGAAGAUGAUGAUUUUUGCCAUCUUUUUCCCUUUUAAUUCAUUUUAAUUACUAGAUUACCAAAUUGCCCCUAACUUAAAAAUUUUCUAUUUCACUUAUCUCAUGUCCAUUUUUGUCUACCAAGUUACCAAUGGUAUAAUUACCAUAUAAGGACCUCCAAUUUAAAGUUUCAUAACAAUUGGACACCUCUAACAUGUAGAACUCAACUUUUGCACUUUUUACAAUUUAGUCCUUUUGACUAAAUUGAGUGCCCAAACGUCGAAAUUUUCGAACGAAAUUUUCAAAAAAUCAUUUUGUGAAAUUGUAGACCAUAAAAAUAUAAGAAAAAUAAAAUUUUUCUCAUCGGAUUUGUGGUUCCGAAACCACUGUUCCGAUAACCUCAAAUUUGGGCCAUUACAACUCUCCCCCCUUUUUAGGAUUUUCGUCCUCGAAAAUCUUACCAGUAAAGAGAUUCGGGUAUUGCUUCCUCAUUGUCUCUUCCGGUUCCCAUGUUGCUUCCUCAAUCCCGUGCUUUUGCCAUAGCACUUUCACCAGAUUUACCUUUUUGUUUCUAAGCUCCUUUGUUUCUCGUACUAAUACUUUAACCGGUUCUUCAUUAUAAGUCAUAUCCGGCUGAAUUUCUACUUCUGUUGGAGUAAUAACAUGUGAAGGAUUUGAUCGAUACCGUCGUAGCAUAGAUACAUGAAUUACAUUAUGAAUUUUGUCGAGUUCCGGUGGUAAAGCCAAUCGGUAAGCAACUGGUCCAAUUCUUUCUAUAAUCUCAUAUGGUCCGAUAAAUCUUGGACUCAAUUUACCCUUUCGACCGAACCGGAGAACUUUCUUCCAAGGAGACACUUUUAAGAAUACUUUAUCACCCACCUGAAAUUCAAUCUCCCUUCGUUUAAGAUCGGCGUAUGACUUUUGACGAUCGGAAGCUGCUUUUAAACUAUCCCAAAUCAGUCUUACUUUUUCUUCUGUUUCCCGAAUCAAAUCAACCCCGUGUAUCUUCUUUUCACUGAGCUCUGUCCAAUAUAAUGGUGUUCUACAUUUUCUACCAUACAAAGCUUCAUACGGAGCCAUUUUAAUACUGGACUGAUAACUGUUAUUAUAAGCAAAUUCAAUCAAAGGUAGAUACCUUUCCCAAUUACCUUGAAACUCUAAUGCACAACAUCGGAGCAUAUCUUCCAAUACCUGAAUUACACGCUCAGAUUGGCCAUCUGUCUGAGGAUGAAAUGCAGUACUGAAAUGCAACUGAGUACCCAAAGCUUCUUGCAAUUUGUUCCAGAAACGAGACGUAAAUCGGGGGUCUCUAUCUGAUAUAAUGGAGAUAGACACUCCAUGUAGUCUAACAAUCUCAGAUAUAUACAGUUCAGCUAAUUUAUCUAGAGAAUAAUCCAUACGUAUCGGGAUAAAAUGUGCUGAUUUUGUUAAUCGAUCAACGAUCACCCAAAUAGCAUCUUUCUUCUUCGGAGACAAUGGUAAUCCGGACACAAAAUCCAUAGUAAUUCUUUCCCAUUUCCAUUCUGGUAUAGUAAUUGGCUGAAGCAACCCCGAAGGUACCUGAUGUUCAGCUUUAACCUGUUGACAUACCAAACAUCUUGAUACAAAUUCAGAGAUAUCACGUUUCAUACUCGGCCACCAAUACAUCUUUUUCAAGUCAUUAUACAUUUUAUUACCUCCCGGAUGUACGGACAUAAUACCACUGUGUGCUUCGUGUAAAAUCUUCUGUACAAGUUCUGAAUUCUUCGGUACACAUACUCUGCCUCUGAAUAAUAAACAACCAUCAGUUCCAAUCUGAAAUUCUAAAUCAUUACCUGACUCACAAUGCACCCGUUUAGCCUGUAAUUUCUCAUAAUUCCUCUGAGCUUCACAUAUUUGUUGACGAAAUGUCGAUUUAGCUCUCAAUUCAGCUAUGAUUGAACCAUCAUUAGACAGUGACAACCGGGUAUUCAUAGCUCGUAAAGCAAAUAGAGAUUUUCGGCUCAAAGCAUCAGCUACCACGUUAGCCUUACCCGGAUGGUAAUCAAUAACCAAAUCAUAAUCCUUUAUCAAUUCAAGCCACCUGCGUUGUCUCAAAUUCAAAUCUUUCUGUGUCAUCAAAUAUUUCAAGCUUUUGUGAUCAGUAUAAAUAUGACACUUUUCACCAUACAAAUAAUGCCGCCAUAUUUUCAAUGCAAAUACAAUAGCAGCUAACUCGAGAUCAUGUACCGGGUAGUUUCUUUCAUGUGGCUUAAGUUGUCUUGAAGCAUAGGCUAUUACUUUAUCUUCUUGCAUCAAGACACAACCCAAACCAUUUAAUGAUGCAUCACUAUAAAUAAUAAAUUCCUUACCCGAUUCAGGCUGUACCAACACAGGUGCUUUCGUUAACAACUCCUUCAAUCGGUCGAAACUUUGCUGGCAUUUUUCUGUCCAUUCAAAUUUAACAUCUUUCUGUAAUAAACGGGUCAUUGGAGAAGCUAUCAUAGAAAACCCUUGUACAAAUCUCCGAUAAUAACCAGCUAAACCCAAGAAACUUCUAACUUCAGAUACAUUCUUCGGUGGACUCCAAUUGACAAUAGCUGAAAUUUUACUCGGAUCUACCCUGAUGCCUUCUGCGGAUACAAUAUGUCCGAGAAAACCUACCUCUCGAAGCCAAAAUUCACAUUUACUGAAUUUAGCAUAAAGUUUCUUUUCACGCAGAAUUUGCAACACUAUUUUCAAAUGUUCUGCAUGCUCAGUUUCAUCCCGAGAAUAAACUAAAAUGUCAUCAAUAAAAACUACUACAAACCUAUCUAGAUACGGUCUGAAUAUCCGGUUCAUCAAAUCCAUGAAUACUGCAGGUGCAUUAGUCAACCCAAACGGCAUAACCAGAAACUCAUAAUGCCCAUACCUGGUUCUGAAAGCUGUCUUUGGCAUAUCUGGCUCUUCUACCCGUAACUGAUAAUAACCCGAUCGGAGAUCAAUCUUUGAAAAUACUGUGGCACCUUUCAGUUGAUCAAAUAAGUCAUCAAUUCGAGGCAAUGGGUACUUAUUCUUUAUAGUUACCUUAUUAAGCUGCCGAUAGUCAAUACACAAUCUCAAAGACCCGUCUUUCUUUUUCACAAACAGAACUGGAGCACCCCAAGGUGAAUGACUCGGACGAACAAAACCUCUGUCAACAAGUUCCUGUAACUGUGCCUUUAACUCUUUUAAUUCUGUAGGAGCCAUACGAUACGGAGCUAUGGAAAUUGGGGUAGUUCCCGGAAUCAGAUCUAUAGAAAAUUCCACUUCUCUUUCUGGUGGCAACCCUGGUAAUUCCUCUGGAAACACAUCAGAAAAUUCACAUACAACUGGCACUGCCUGUAUCUUUAACUCAGAUACUUUAGUAUCCAACACAUACGCCAAAUAAACAUCAUACCCUUUUCUAAUACACCUCUGAGCUGUCAUAACUGAAAUCGUAUCGGAUAAUCCCUCUGUCUGAUUAGAUUUAACCCAAAGUAAUUCUCCAUUCUGGCAUUUCAACACAACAUAUUUUUGUCUACAGUUUACUACUGCAUCAUGCUGAGUUAACCAAUCCAUGCCCAAUAUCACAUCAAACUCAUCAAAAGGCAAUAACAUCAAGUCAACCGGGAAACAAAUACCUUUUACCAUCAAUGGACAAUUUUUACAAACUUUAUCCACUAUCACAAACUGGCCCAGGGGGUUCGAGACUUUAACCAUAAAUUCAGUAGGUUCAACAGACAAAUUUUUAACAAAUGCUAAUUUUGUGCAUAUAUAUGAAUGUGUAGAGCCAGGAUCAAUUAAUGCAAUAACAGUAGUAUCAUAGAGAGAAAAUGUACCCGCAAUUACAUCAGGAGAGGACGCCUCUUCACGAGCUCGAAUAGCAUAUGAUCUUGCAGGUGCUCUAACAUCUGAUCUAACCGCUGAAUCUUUGAAUGCACCCCUAUUACUUGCCCCCACUCCUGGGUUUCUCUGCAGUCUACCUCUGGUAGGAGCAUUACCUGAUCUCGCACUCGUUAUUUCUUCUCUUUUAGUUGUUUCAGGACAAUCCCGAAUAAAGUGAUCGGAUGCUCCACAUCUGAAACAAACAUUUUCACCUGUUCUACACUCUCCGGGGUGGCGUCUCCCACAUUGAGGACAUUCCGGUCUAGGAGGUCGAGUACUGCCAGUACUUGCAACUGUAGUGGUUUGAGCUCUAAAACCCUCGAAUCUUCUACUUCUGCUUCGGCCAGAAUAUAUAUGUGGAAAAUGUGAUCCGCUAGAGAGCUCCCUAGGCCUCUUAGAUGUAGACUGAAAUGAUUUACUCAUUUGCCUCUUCUUUGUAUCCUGCGCUCCAGCUUCAGCUUUGCUCUUCUCUUUUUCUUUUAACAAGUCUUCUACUUUACAAGCUCUUUCUACCAGAACAACAAACUCUCUGAUUUCCAAUACACCCACUGAUAGUCGGAUGUCAUCAUUAAGCCCAUAUUCAAAUCUCUUGCACAUGUUGGCUUCGGUGGAUACAAAUUCCCGAGCAUACUUACUAAGUCUGAAAAAUUCGCGUUCAUAUUCAGUCACGGACAUCUUACCUUGUUUUAGCUCAAGAAACUCCUUCCUUUUCUGAUCUAUAAAUCUCUGGCUGAUGUACUUCUUUCGAAACUCCUCCUGAAAGAAAUCCCAAGUAACCCUCUCACUCGGUACGAUAGACACGAGAGUCUUCCACCAAUGAUAAGCGGAAUCUCUGAGAAGUGAGACCACACACUUCAUACAUUCUUCCGGUGUACAAGAUAAUUCUUCAAAAACCCUGAUGGUAUUCUCAAGCCAGAAUUCUGCUUUUUCUGCAUCGUCAUCUUUGGUAGCCCGAAAUUCUUCAGCCCCUUGCUUCCUAAUCUUAUCAAUAGGUGGUCUCUCCCUGAUAAAUAUACCUGCAGCUGGGGAAGCUACAUGGGGAACCUGUGAAUCUUGAGGGGGUGGAGGUCUUACAGCCGGAUUCGUACGAACGAACUCGGCAAACCAAUCAGUCAUGGCUUGGAAGAAGGCUUCUCUAGCUCCUCCUCCCUGUCUAUCUGAUGCAGGUCUUUCACUAACAUUAACAUCUGAUGGCACCGUCCCUUCUGCGGGAAUAGGCGCAUUACUCUCUACUUCAUUUGUACUAGCUCGUUCAGGAUCCAUAACUAUAAAAGAAAACAUUUUAAAAUCGUCAGGAGUCGUCACACUAUCAAAAUAUAUAAGUAUGGCAUGUAUAGGUAGACUCUUAUUCUUACUGAGUAUUUCCGAGAACCAACUAAACCUGCUCUGAUACCAAUAAAAUGUAACACCCCUUACCCGAGACCAUUUCCGGAGUCGAGCACGAGGCAUUACUUAGCUUAUCUUACCAAUUCGGAGCAUAAAAACUAGGUUUGAAAAUUUAUUUCACUAUUUACAGCAAAUCUGUCUAAUAGCGCAGCAGUUGCUAAAUUAAUUAUAACUUGAGCUACAGAACUCGAAAUUUAAUUCCAUAAAUUUUCCCUGAAACUAGACUCAUAUAUCUACUCACCAUAAAAUUUUUAUAAUUUUUGGUUCAGCCAAUUAGUACAGUUUAUUAGUUAAAGUCUCCCCUGUUUCACCAUUCAACUAUUCUAACCUCUUGUUACUAAAAAUAAGUUUUCUCACUGUAGGAUUUUCAUAUGAAGUUCUUACUUGUUUCUACAGAAAAUAGACUCAUUAAGGAAUCUAAGCAUGUAAAUUUCAACUCAUAACCAUUUUUGUACAAUUCGUAAUUAUUUUCUAAACUCAGAACAGGGGACUCCAAAAACAGUUCUGACCCUAUCUUACUAAAAUUCACAUAUCUUAAAAUAUAAAUUUCCUUUUUCUACACCGUUAUUUUUCAAUGAAAAUAGACUCAACAAGAUUUAAUUCUAUAUAUCAUUCACCCUCUAAUUCAUUUUAUACUAUCUUGGGUGAUUUUUCAAAUUCACGUCACUGUGCUGCCUGAAUUCUGUUUCUUUGCAAAAUUUUAUCCUUUCAUGAUUUCCAUGCAUAAUUUAUCACCUAAUCUUUCAUAACAACAAACACCUUCAUCCUUAACCAUUUUAAUGACCAUACAUCAUCAAAUACUUACACAUCACUCAUUAGCAAAAUCAUCAUUACAAACAUACAAAAUAACUAAAUCCCUAUACAUGCCAUAACUCAAACGUGUUUCGAUAUAAAAUACCGAGCAGUUGUAGUUGAUAGUGUGGACGAUCUCCGACUUCUUUAGGAUCCUUGAAGUAGCUUUGCAAUACUAUAAGAGAAAGAGAAAUAAAAGAAGUAAGCAUAAAUCUUAGUAAGUUUACUAGCAAAUAAAUAACAAUAUUUAACUUAAAUAAUUAAACUCAAUGUCUAUAUCUCUAGUUUACUCUUUAGUUAAUCUCAUACUAGUUCUCUUACUUGUUUACUUAGAAUACUUGUGUGCAUAACUUACUCAACCCUUGCUGCAUCGUUGAACAUCAAUUGAUAGUAUAAUAAGUUCUUAAGUCUUACAACUUACCUGAGCUUGCCAUUUAUGCUUUAAACUGAACUUUCAUGAACAUGAUUCGUUUACAAGCCCGUUGAGCUACAUUGGAAUAAUAAGGAUACUCGGGUCUCUUCUGAUAAUAACAUGCCAAAGCCAUGUCCCAGACAUGGUCUUACAUGGGAUGUUCUCGUGAUGGUGCCCAUGCCAUGUCCCAGACAUGGUCUUAUAGGGGACCUCUCAUCUCGGUGCCAACGCCAUGUCCCAGACAUGGUCUUACAUGGGACCUCUCGUCUCGGUGCCCAUGCCAUGUCCCAGACAUGGUCUUACAGGGGACCUCUCAUGAUCUUAAGGAUGCCAAUGCCAUGUCCCAGACAUGGUCUUACAUGGGAUCUCUUUACCCAAAUGUCAUGACAUUCGUAUCCAGUACCAUCCUUAUGUAUCAACGGGACUUUUAAAUUUUAAUUCUCUAUCAUUUCAUGCUUGGAUCAUCAUCAAAUAAAUUCAUAAAAUAAAUUCAUAGUUGCUAGAAAAUAACAGCAUUGAUAAUAAAUAUUGAAAUAUUGCAUUUAUUUACCGUAAACUUACCUCGGUACCAAUUAUAGCCAAAUUCACCAACUUAGUCUUCAACUUUAUUCUUCCCUUUGUCUAACCUCGAGUUUCGUACUUCUUGAUCUAAAAUAGUAAAUUUAACUUAUUUAAUAAUCACAUUCAUCAAAACAGCCCUCGACUCUAACUUUUUCAAAAUUACAAUUUUGCCCCUAAACUUUACAUAAUUACAUUUUUGCCCCAAGGCUCGGAAAUUAAACUUCAUCUCUUAUUCUUAUGUUUUAUAACAUUCUGAACAUUUUUCCCUUCUAUGGCAACAUCAAAUUCCCACUCUAACAUGUACUUAUGAACAUUAGGUAUUUUUACCGAUUAUGUCGUUUUACUCGUUUUCACUUAAAAUCGCUUAGCAAAAGUUGUUUAACAUAAUUUAUAGCUUCAUAUUCUAUCAUAAAACAUCAAAAUAAACACUUUUCACCUAUGGGUAUUUUUCCAAAUAUAAACCCUAAGUUAAAUUAUUACUAGAAUAAGCUAAAUUAAGCUACUGGGAUCUCAAAAACGUAAAGAACAUUAAAAACGGGGCUUGGGAUCACUUACUAUGGAGCUUGGAAGCUUGAAAACCCUAACUAUGGCUUCCCCCUUGCUGAUUUCAUUCAUAUGAAGAAGAUGAUGAUUUUUGCCAUCUUUUUCCCUUUUAAUUCAUUUUAAUUACUAGAUUACCAAAUUGCCCCUAACUUAAAAAUUUUCUAUUUCACUUAUCUCAUGUCCAUUUUUGUCUACCAAGUUACCAAUGGUAUAAUUACCAUAUAAGGACCUCCAAUUUAAAGUUUCAUAACAAUUGGACACCUCUAACAUGUAGAACUCAACUUUUGCACUUUUUACAAUUUAGUCCUUUUGACUAAAUUGAGUGCCCAAACGUCGAAAUUUUCGAACGAAAUUUUCAAAAAAUCAUUUUGUGAAAUUGUAGACCAUAAAAAUAUAAGAAAAAUAAAAUUUUUCUCAUCGGAUUUGUGGUUCCGAAACCACUGUUCUGAUAACCUCAAAUUUGGGCCAUUACAGAAUUAAUAAUGUGCAACCAAUAGACAUGAAAUAACAUAAAAACAAUUACCAUAUAAUGUACCAAACAAAAUAAAACUAAUAUGAUGCAAAACAAUAAAAAAUGAUGAAUCGAUGAACGAAUACUACAUGCUUGAAUUUGAAAUAAUUUACAUGGAUAAAAAUACUAUAUAAAUAAUUAUUAAUAUAAAAAAGAUUUUGAAUCGAAUAACAUGCAAGAUAAUACAUCUAUCUUAAGUUGACAAUAUUCAUACAAAAUAAAAGAAAACUUAAAUAAUAUACAAAACAUGAAAGGUUCUUAAAUAACAAAAGAAUAUAUAAUAAAGUAUGUUCUUGUGUAAUGAACUAUAAAAAUUUUCUUAAUAUAUAUAUAUGUAUAUAUAGAAAUAUUGAUUUAAAAGGAAAUGUACAUUGAAAUAGAUUUAAAGGAAAAUACAUAAAACAAUAGAAGAUCAACAAUGCAUGUAAAAACACAAUGUUCAACCAUUCAAAACUGAUAAUAUAAGAAACAUUUACGUAUAUAUAAGUAUGAAAACAAAUUUAUAACAAAACAAUAUAAAUAAUAUACAAAACAACAUGGAAACAAUUUGAAAACUAUUUAAUAUGAAAAAUUACAAAUGAGCAACAUAUGAGAGGGUUUGAAAUGAUUUGCAUAUAUAAAAAUAAAACUAAUAAAUAAUAUUACAAGUGAAAGAAGAGAUUUGGAACAAAUGACAUGCAAAAAUAUUUUAAAAAAACAUAUCUAUUUAAUGGUGAUGAUAUACAUACAAUAAUGAAAAGACAAUGUAAACAAUAUAAUGAAGAUAUAAUAAAAAUAAAGAAAUGACAACAUAUAUGACAGAAUGACAAAUUAAUAUAGAGUAUAACAAUACAUAUAUAUGAAAUAAUCUUAAAUAACAAGAAAGUAAUAAAACAUAUUUUUUCAAAGAAUAAACUAGAUACGAAAUAAAUUUGAAGGGAAAUACCAAUAAACAGAUUUAAAAGAAGUUAUAUGUGUAAAAUAACGUGAAACUAAUAAUGUGUAUAAAAGAAAACUAAUUUUGUCAUAAAUCAUAUAUGUAUUAAUAUAAGUUAAAUAUAAAUUAAAUAUUAUACAAAAUUUUGACAACAACAUGAUAUACAAAGUAAUUUUAAGAUAAUAGUUUUAUAAAAAAAGAGUGAAUUGUUAAAGUAAUUUAAAAUGUAUAUAAAAAUAAAAUAAGUGCUAAACGAAUUAAAAAGAUAAUGAACUACACAAAUUAAAAGGACUCAAUUAAAAUGAAAGAUAAACUAAAAGGAUAUUUAAUAAAUAAAAUACACUGCUGAAAUAAAAGGAAGGACUAAAUUGAAAUCAAAAUGGAACUAAAAGUAUAAAGUUCAAAUAUUAAAAUCGCAUAAGGAUUCCAAUGGAAUGCGCAUAAAGGGAAGGACUGAUAUUGCAAAUUCCCCAUUCGAGGCACAGAGGCACGGAUCCGGGUCCUGGGACGGGUCGACGCGCGGAGCUCCAACAUCUAAACGACGCCGUUUUUGGAGCCACUGAAUCAGGCCCAAAACGACGCCGUAUUCAGACCUUUAAAAGACCCUAAAUUUGGCUAUUCAGCCAUUUCAAAACCCUAGCCCCCAUUUUGUUUUUUUUUUAGCCGGCCUUUAGCCAAAUCAUUUGGCCCUCACCCCCAUCGUCCCCAACCACAAGCGUAUUUGCCUUUUGAAGACGAUUUUCGGCCUCAAGAUUCCUCCUCCACCUUCAACUUCGACGAGGCAAGGAAGAACCAACGGAGGAUUUGCGAGGUAAGGUUUCGUUUCACUCUUUUCUUUUCUUUUUUUAUUGUUUUAGAUGUGAAAAAUGAAAAAAAAAGUCGAAAGGAAUAGAUCCAGAUAAAAAACGCAACAAAUCCGGAGAUUCAAAGAAAGGAAAAUCACCUUCCUCUAUUUUUCUUGCUUUGUAGUCAAUAUCUGUAUGCGUAAAUAUGCGUUCGUAACCUUUACAAAGACUAAAAGUUGGGCUUUUAUAGCCGAAAGAAAAGAAAAAUAAACCGAAAAUAUACAAUAUGUCUUUGUUUCUAUUCGCUGCUGUUUUUGUUUCCUUCUUGUAGGUACGGGUGCGCGUUCGUGUACGGAGGUCAUGCUGGUGCUUGGCGUGAGGAGUAUGGAGGCGUGCUGGCGCUUGGCGUGAGGAGUACGGUGAAGGCGUAGGGAGGUUGCUGUUGCGGCGCAGGAGAAAGAAAGAAACUCUAGGGUUUCUAAAAUUUCUAGGCCAUUUGGGCUCAUUUCGGGUAUUGGGUCAGUCCUUAGGCCGUGGGGUUUUAGUUAUUGGGUCUAGGGUAUGUAUUGGGCCAAAGUCUGUAAAUAGACAUUUAAUAGACUAUAUAUUAUUUUUUGUUUUGGGAUUAUUCUUUGGUUGUUGGGCCCGAGCGAAUUUGGCCCAUUACAGCUUCCCCUCUUUGCUCAUUGUCGUGUAACGAGAAUGGAGCAAAGACUAAAAAAAGGGCCAAAUUUGCCGGGGCCUGACGAGUCUCAACUUCUCUUGGCGCUUCUUUUCUUCAAGUAGCCUCUUUCUAACCCACUGCAUCUUCAGAGGUAAAGGGACUGUUGCUUUGAUCUACUCCACUGCGACUGCUUGUAGCUUUAAGCUAUUCCACUGCAACUUUAGAGAGUUGAGGUUUGUGGCUUUAAUAUGUUCUUCUGCAAUUAUAGCUUGAUCUGCUCCAUUGCAACAAGGUUUGUAAUCUUCAGCCUACUCCACUACAACUUUAGGGAGCUAGGACUUGCUUAAAUCUGCUUCACUGCAUCUUCAGGAAGCCAAGAUUCGUCAUUUUCGAUUUGCCCCACUGCAACUUUAGGGAGACAAGAUCUACAAUAUUCAGCCUACUCCGCUACAAUUUUAGGGAGCUAGGACUAGCUUAAAUCUGCUUCACUGCAUCGUCAGGAAGCCAAGAUUCGUCAUCUUCGAUUUGCCCCACUACAACUUCAGGGAGACAAGAUCUACAAUAUUCAGCCUACUCCACUACAAUUUUAGAGAGCUAGGACUAGCUUAAAUUUGCUUCACUGCAACUUCAGGAAGCCAAGAUUCGUCGUCUUCGAUUUGCCCCACUCCAACUUCAGGGAGACAAGAUCUACAAUCUUCAGCCUACUCCACUACAACUUUAGGGAGCUAGGACUUGCUUAAAUCUGCUUCACUGCAUCUUCAGGAAGCCAAGAUUCGUCGUCUUCGAUUUGCCCCACUGCAACUUCAAGGAGACAAGAUCUACAUUCUGUUUCAUAGGCUUAUGCUUAUGCCGAAUAAUUAGGAUGCUAUGAUCAACAUGAAUCAAUUGUUCCUAACUAGAUGUGAUGUUUAUGUCAAAUAAUUAGAAUGUUAUGAUCGAAAUGAAUCAAAUGUUCCUAACUAGAUGUGAUGUUUAUGUCAAAUAAUUAGAAUGAUAUGAUCGAAAUGAAACAAAUGCUCCUAACUAGAUGUGUUAUGAAUGAUAUAUGAAUGCGGAAAUGAAAAUGAUCUAAGUAUCAUUGCUCGUUCAUCAGGACAUUAUCACUGACGUAUUAUGCGGCCAUCUUGUUCAGCUGGUAUUCUUGACAGAAAACAAUCUCAAUCUGCUCGGCAAGCUUGCCCUACUGAAACUUUAUGGAGUUUUUGCUUAUCCAACCCACUGCAACUCAGGGUAUAGGAUCAAUCAUUCUUCGGGUGUAAUGACCUUGUGUGCAUGUCUGAUAUUUGCGUGAAUGCAGAAUAUCAUUUUUCUUUUCCUGAGAAUGAUUCCCUCUUAUACUUGGAUUGACAUUGCUCGUCAUUUUUCGAGGUUGUAUCACCGACGAAAUAUCUUGCCUCUUCGUUAAUCAAUACUUUUGAUAGAAUAUUCAAAGAGAUAGCCACAAUUUGGACUCCUUCUUUCUCAAACUUUUCCAUCCCUUAGGUUUGGUGAGUUCCAAACAAUAGUCAUGUUUCAGGUUCUUAUACUAUUUAGAAGCCUCCCGAGUAAUAUGCAGAACUUCUUUUUAUGAAAGUAUUAUUGGUCUAUUAAUCGUUAUUUCAAUGCAAAAUGCUCGAGAAAGAUCAAAACAAUAGACAAGAAGGAAAUUGGGUAAGAGCACAGCUCGAAACAAAUAAGUUAAUCAAAGAUUGCAAAUAUAAUAGGAAGGCAAUUAACUCAACAUGAAUAAGUUAAUCAGAGAUAGCAAUGCAAUAAGAAGGAAGUUUAUUUGGAGCAUAUUUUGAAACGAAUAUAGUAAUCAAAGAUAGUAAAUUCAGUGUGGGUAAGAUGAAAACUAGGUGCCCCAGAUAUCUUAGCCCGAGCUUCUCUGUACAAACUUCUUGAGGUCCAUUUUGAGCUCAAUAUGUAUUUAGGGGAUCCGGAGUACUUUGUCGAUACCCCGAUACAUAGCAUACUUCUUCAUUGUUAAUUCAGGCGUAGCAAGACUACUGUAUGCCCCACCUUGAUUCAAAUUUGAGCCGCCCUUUUCGGGUUUUCAACUCAAAUCCCUUUUGGUCUCAAUGCGCCCUUUGCGGGUUUUCGCCUUAGCCUCUCAUUUUCUUUUCUUUUCUUCUUUUCUCUUUUUUUUUAAGGUCUCAAAGUGUCUUUUGCAGGUUUUCACCUUGGCCUUUCACUUUCCUCUGAAGUUUUUAUCUUUUUCAACGCCAGGUCCCCCUCGUGGGAUUCUCUAGGAUGAACCUUUCUGACGUAAGCUUACAUCAUUCAUUUCUGGUACAUUGGGCCAUGACAGAUGGCUUUCAACCUCCUUUCUUCAAAUUCAACUAACCAUAUCGGGAUUGGAUCUAUUCUGCCAAGACUUGGCCAAAAAAAAUCUCGUUUUCAAAACCGUUUCUAUCCCAUUAAGCAGACAAAAAAUGUAUUGCCCUGGCGAAGGUUCUGGCCGACGUUCAAUAAGUAUAGAGGGUAAAUGGUAACUUCUUUAUGCCAAUCUUUACAAGCCUCGAUUAUCUUCUACGAUUUUUGCUGCAUCAUAAUACGGCGUCUGAUCUUUGAACAGAUUGCCAACUUCUGACAUUGAAUCUUUCUGAUGUUUUUUAUCGACACCUAAUCUCUCUCUUUUUUUUUAAGUUCGAUGACUAUCGACUUAGUAACAUUGGCAUAUGAAAUGACUUUCACCCAUUCUAUGAAGAAAUCGAUAAUCUCAAAGAUGAAUCGGUAUCGAUUAGAAGCUUUUGACGGAAUCAGCCUCAUAAUAUCCAUGCCUUACAUAUAGAAAAUCUUGUGAAAGAAAUGGGGAGGCCUAAAAGUCUUGUCUUCUUUCAUUUGGCAUUUGCAGCUUGACUGAUACAAUCCUCUUCCAUGUUGGAUCAGCAGCGCUCGAACCUCAUGAUUAGCCUGGCUAACGUAAGACCAUUAGCAUGUGUUCUCCUGAUAUUCAUAUGGACCUUUUUUUAGCAUCCACAGGCCUUAGUAGCCCAAGCAUAUCUUAAUACGAUCAUGUGAAAAUAUCUUAGUAUUCUUGACAUCUCGCUUUGUCUCUAUGGUGCUAUACACUAUAAUUUUUAUCUCUUUCUCUUCUCUCAGGUUCGCAACGUCCAUUGCCCCUUUGUAAGGUAGGAUCUAUUUCUCAUCUUGUUCUACCAUCCUUGACAAAUCGGGAGAUAGGCUACAAUCUCUAUCAUCUUCAAGGUCCUGAGAUCCCUCUAGAUACAUAUCUUGCUCAAAACGAUACUCGGAAUUAGUGCCAGCGUCGCUCACAUCAUUUAUAUCUGUAGACCUGUUGUAGGUAUGAAGGCUGGGCCAAAGAAUAAAUGAUUCUAAGGAUGAUUAUUUGUAUGAUAUGAUCAUGAAUGAAAGAAUCUAAGAAUAAUCAUUUGUACAAUAUGAAAUGGAAUUUAUGCAAAAGUUACAUGGAAAAUAGAAGAGUGUGUUAUUAAAUGAUAUGUAUUAAUGAUUUUAAAUGGUAAUUUUUUCGUAACUAACGUAGCACCAGAAACGUCAUCAAAGAAGGAAAAAGAGAAAGUGAGCGAAGAUAACGAGUAAAUUCAAGAACCACAGUUUGUAUUUCUAUAACCAAACUUAAUAGUUAUUUUGAUACAUAUUAUUGAUAUUAUGUAUUGCUAUUGAAAUUAAGAUAAGUAUUGAUAUUGUAGUAUAGUGUUGAAUUAUGAAUGUCGAAACCAUCUUUCGAAAUUUUAAUUUUAACAAAAAAUAGGGGAAUCGACUGUUUGAAAAUAAAACGUGGAGUCGCCACCGAUCCUUUUAUUUUGGUGUGAUCGGAUCACCUAAGAAUUUGGUUAUUUUAAUAAAACAUUUUUGAUUUACUAAAACAACGAUUUUGGUUUACGAACUUUUGAGAAAACGGGUUCGGGAGUCGGUUACGCAUGAGGAAGGAUUAGCACCCUCACUACGCCCAAAAUUGGUACCAAAUCGAUUAAAUGCUAUCCUUAUGUAAAAUGUUUUUGAAAUAUGGUUCUUGUUAAUAACAUUUGAAUAACCCGAGUUGGUUGCCAAAAAUCUUCUUGUUUCGAUAUCCGAAAGUUUAUAAUUUGAAAUUAACAAAAGGAUGCCCAACUAUUUGGUCCAACGAAAGACCGAAACCCAGCACAGUAGGGCACGAUUCCUCGAAUUUUCGAACAUCAGACAUUGCCUCACCUUAGAAAAUACGAGUGAAAUUCCGAAGAGAUAUUCGAUUAUUUUGAACAAACGGGAAAUUGCAACCCAGCACGAUAGGGUACUAUUCCCCGAAUUGCCAAGCAUCGAAUAUCGCCUUCGUUUUAAAGGGUUUUUAGAAAACGUGAGUAAAAUUUCGAAGGAAUCUUCGAUUGUUUUGAAAAAAAUGAGAAAUCACAACCCAACACGUUAGGGCACGAUUCCCGAAUUAUCAAACACCGAAUAUUGUUUUCGUUUUGGAAUGUUUUUAAUAAACACGAGUGAAAACCUAAAGGAAUAUUCGAUUGUUUUGAACAAACGAGAAAUCACAACCUAGUACAAUAGGGCACGAUUCUCGAAUUAUCAAACACCGAGUAUUGCCUUCGUUUUAAAGAAUUUUUAAUAGUUGUGAAACUAGCUUAAAACACAUUAAUUCGAUUUGAUAAGAUGAAAUUAAUCAUAAAAUUUGGAUUUUAUAAAACCACAUUUCGAAAAUCAAGCGGAAAGCGAUGAUAUUGGGUAAUAUGUGUACGCAUAAAACACGACAAUGGAAGAGUGGGGGGGAUACAAUUUAUUUAACCAACUAACAAACAUUUACAAUUAAGUACAACUAACUUGAAAAUAUAGCUGAAUCUCAAUCAUGAAUGGAGAAUAAUUAACAUGGCAAUAUAAAAUAAUGAACAAAUAAAUAAUGCAACGAUAACAUGCAUGGGUGAACAACGAUUGAUACGAUAAUACAUAAGAAGGCGAAUUAAUAAUGUGCAACCAAUAGACAUGAAAUAACAUAAAAACAAUUACCAUAUAAUGUACCAAACAAAAUAAAACUAAUAUGAUGCAAAAAAAUAAAAAAUGAUGAAUCGAUGAACGAAUACUACAUGCUUGAAUUUGAAAUAAUUUACAUGGAUAAAAAUACUAUAUAAAUAAUUAUUAAUAUAAAAAAGAUUUUGAAUCGAAUAACAUGCAAGAUAAUACAUCUAUCUUAAGUUGACAAUAUUCAUACAAAAUAAAAGAAAACUUAAAUAAUAUACAAAACAUGAAAGGUUCUUAAAUAACAAAAGAAUAUAUAAUAAAGUAUGUUCUUGUGUAAUGAACUAUAAAAAUUUUCUUAAUAUAUAUAUAUAUGUAUAUAUAGAAAUAUUGAUUUAAAAGGAAAUGUACAUUGAAAUAGAUUUAAAGGAAAAUACAUAAAACAAUAGAAGAUCAACAAUGCAUGUAAAAACACAAUGUUCAACCAUUCAAAACUGAUAAUAUAAGAAACAUUUACGUAUAUAUAAGUAUGAAAACAAAUUUAUAACAAAACAAUAUAAAUAAUAUACAAAACAACAUGGAAACAAUUUGAAAACUAUUUAAUAUGAAAAAUUACAAAUGAGCAACAUAUGAGAGGGUUUGAAAUGAUUUGCAUAUAUAAAAAUAAAACUAAUAAAUAAUAUUACAAGUGAAAGAAGAGAUUUGGAACAAAUGACAUGCAAAAAUAUUUUAAAAAAACAUAUCUAUUUAAUGGUGAUGAUAUACAUACAAUAAUGAAAAGACAAUGUAAACAAUAUAAUGAAGAUAUAAUAAAAAUAAAGAAAUGACAACAUAUAUGACAGAAUGACAAAUUAAUAUAGAGUAUAACAAUACAUAUAUAUGAAAUAAUCUUAAAUAACAAGAAAGUAAUAAAACAUAUUUUUUCAAAGAAUAAACUAGAUACGAAAUAAAUUUGAAGGGAAAUACAAAUAAACAGAUUUAAAAGAAGUUAUAAGGGUAAAAUAACGUGAAACUAAUAAUGUGUAUAAAAGAAAACUAAUUUUGUCAUAAAUCAUAUAUGUAUUAAUAUAAGUUAAAUAUAAAUUAAAUAUUAUACAAAAUUUUGACAACAACAUGAUAUACAAAGUAAUUUUAAGAUAAUAGUUUUAUAAAAAAAGAGUGAAUUGUCAAAGUAACUUAAAAUGUAUAUAAAAAUAAAAUAAGUGCUAAACGAAUUAAAAAGAUAAUGAACUACACAAAUUAAAAGGACUCAAUUAAAAUGAAAAAAUAAACUAAAAGGGUAUUUAAUAAAUAAAAUACACUGCUGAAAUAAAAGGAAGGACUAAAUUGAAAUCAAAACGGAACUAAAAGUAUAAAGUUCAAAUAUUAAAAUCGCAUAAGGAUUCCAAUGGAAUGCGCGCACAAAGGGAAUGACUGAUAUUGCAAAUUCCCCAUUCGAGGCACAGAGGCGCGGAUCCGGGUCCUGGGACCGGUCGACGCGCGGAGCUCCAACAUCUAAACGACGCCGUUUUUGGAGCCACUGAAUCAGGCCCAAAACGACGCCGUAUUCAGACCUUUAAAAGACCCGAAAUUUGGUUAUUCAGCCAUUUCAAAACCUUAGCCCCCAUUUUGUUUUUUUUAGGCGGCCUUUAGCCAAAUCAUUUGGCCCUCACCCCCAUCGUCCCCAACCACAGGCGUAUUCGCCUUUUGAAGACGAUUUUUGGCCUCAAGAUUCCUCCUCCACCUUCAACUUCGACGAGGCAAGGAAGAACCAACGGAGGAUUUGCGAGGUAAGGUUUCGUUUCACUCUUUUCUUUUCUUUUUUUAUUAUUUUGAUGCGAAAAAUGAAAAAAAAAGUCGAAAUGAAUAGAUCCAGAGAAAAAUGCAACAAAUUCGGAGAUUCAAAGAAAGGAAAAUCACCUUCCUCUGUUUUUCUUGCUUUGUAUUCAAUAUCUGUAUGCGUAAAUGUGCGUUCGUAACCUUUACAAGGACUAAAAGUUGGCUUUUAUAGCCGAAAGAAAAGAAAAAUAAACCGAAAAUAUACAAUAUGUCUUUGUUUCUAUUCGCUGCUGUUUUUGUUUCCUUCUUGUAGGUACGGGUGCGCGUUCGUUUACGGGUGUCAUGCUGGCGCUUGGCGUGAGGAGUAUGGAGGCGUGCUGGCGCUUGGCGUGAGGAGUACGGAGGCGAAGGCGUAGGGAGGUUGCUGUUGCGGCGCAGGAGAAAGAAAGGAACCCUAGGGUUUCUAAAAUUUCUGGGCCAUUUGGGCUCAUUUCGAGUAUUGGGUCAGUCCUUGGGCCGUGGGGUUUUAGUUAUUGGGUCUAGGGUAUGUAUUGGGCCAAAGUCUGUAAAUAGACAUUUAAUUGACUAUAUAUUAUUUUUUGUUUUGGGAUUAUUCUUUGGUUGUUGGGCCCGAGCGGAUUUGGCCCAUUACAAUGUAUAUUUGAAUUGAAAUGUAUAUUGGUUGAUGAUGAAGAAUUGAAAGUGAAAUGAAAGCCCUAUUAACAGUGUCGGGCUAGUCGGAUAUAGUUGGCAUGUCAUAGGAUUGGAAGUGUUCAAGGAUAUUCGACUUUGUGUCGAUAAGGCACCUUGUGUGCCAUACUGUUACUGUUACUAUUCCAGAUUCGUUCUGAUGAGGUACUCUGUGUACCGAUACUGUUACUGUUACUGAUACUGUUACGGUGUAUUCCGGCUUCGGUCGAUGAAACACUGUAUACUAUCCCGAUGUGUGGGUUGGAUCCUUAUAUCCGUCCAUGUCCGGAUUAUGUUAAUAGGGUAAAUUACUGUACUGAACAUAGAAAGAUACUGUUGUUACUAUAUUUUCUUAUUGAAUAUGAUUUUAUUGAUAAGUAUUACUAUGAUAUAAGGAUAAUUGAAUGAUAAUUUAUAAAGUUUUUAUUGUUAGAAUUUAUGGUUAUAUUUUAAAUGCAUAUUAAGUAUUGGUUUACAGAAAUACCACUGAGUGUAUACUCAGCGUACGGUUUGUUUUCGUACGCAGAUUAGGUACAAAGUGGCUAUCGUCUCAGCAUCUAAGCCAACUCCCGAACUCAAAUAUUUGGUGAUGUAUCUUAUCCUUAGGAAUGGCAUGUACCUAGGUUGUCUUUGAUAUUAUUUUGAAUAUAAGAGAAGUUAGUGAGGAAUGUUAAUAGCUAGCUCAUAGAUGUAAAGUGAAUGAUAUAACAUAGUUCAUUUUGAACUAAUUUGAAUGGUUCUUAAGUAUAAAUUUGAAGUUGCUUUGUUUAACGGUCGAUAAUAUACUAAUGUUAGAUUGUUAUAUUAGUAUAAUAAAUGUGUAUUAAAUAUGUUUAAUCAUGUUUUGAACUGGUUGAAAGAUUAUAUUUAAAUUUGCUUGUUAUUCAAGGUUUGCAGGGUUGGAAAACUUGAACUAUAAGGUUCAUUUUGAGUCCACACAACUUGUCACAUGGGCGUGUGAUCAAACAGUGUAAAACACACGACUUAAACACAGACAUGUUGAUAGGCCGUGUGUCCCCUGUACCUAAACCUUGUAAAACAGAAUACCACACGGGCUGAGCACACGGGCGUGUGACUUGACCGUGUGAAAUUAGUUUGUUCAUAAGUAAUAAGGCAGUGUUGUACGUGGGUAAAGGACACGGGCAUGUCCAAGCCGUAUGAGUCACACGGAGUGACAGCAUGGGCAUGUUAUGGAGACACGGGAAUGCCUCCUAGGCCACACGUGCGUGUGGUACUAUUCAUUAAAGGAAAUUUUAAGAACAUUAUGAAAAAUUUUAUAAGCUUCCGAUUGAGUUCCUGUAACAGCCUAAUUUUCAGUGGUAUCGGGAAUAGAGAUUUGAGAUCACUAAAUCCGACGGGUGAGUUGAAAAUUUAAUAAAUUAAUACCUAUGAGUCAAAUGUGAAUAUAAAAGCAUUUUUGAAUUAGUGAAUUUGGUGAUUUAAAAGAAUUAAUUAGGUAAAUUGGGUCGAGAAUGAGGUAUCGAGAUCUCGAAUUCAUAAAUUGAGCCAUAAAUAUUUUUAGAAAUAUUUAUGGAGUGUUGGUGAGGUAGUAAUAAAAUUUAGUCAGAAAAUUUUGACGUUUGGAUGGUUAAUUAAAUAAAAAGGACUAAAUUGAAAAGGGUGUAAAAGUUGCUAAAAGGAUUAAAUAGCUCAAUUGUCAAAUGAGGAGAUAUUUUGGGCGGCAAUUGCUGAGAAAAAUCAGGAAAUGGGUGAGAUAAGGGCAAAAUUGGAAAAUUGCCAAAAUUGGCUAAAUAAAAAUGGGACUAAAUUGGAAUAUCUAGAAUUCUCUUUAUUUCUCCUCAUAUUCAUCAGUUGAAAAACAGCCAUGGAGGAGGGUUCAAGCUGGUUUUCAUACUCUAGCUUCAUGUAAGUUUAAUUCUUGCUUUCUCCUUGAAAUUUUUAUGUUUUUGUACUUUUACAAUUGGGUCCAACUUACUAUUUCAUUAGUUUUUGAUUUCAUGUCUAAUUUUUGAAGUUUUUAUGGAUGAGUACUGGAAGUAUAUGAUGAUUUUGCAUGUAAUUAGAGUUUUAAAUUGUUUAUAUUCUGAUUUUAUUGAAAGAAUUGAAUAGAAAGUGAAUGUUUGGGACCUAAUUGUAAAAGAGUUUGAAGUUAGAGUUUUAUGUGAAAAUUAUGAAUUUAAAUAGUUAUGAAAUAACUUAUAAUGUCUAGAAAAAGUAUUAAUUGAUAAAAUUAUCUUAAUUGAGGGGUUAAUUGAGCAAGGACUGAAUUGUAUGAAUUGUGAAAUUUGGGGUAAAAUGGAAAUCAACAUUUUGCACUAAAACUGUUUUGGGCAGCAGCAGUAGUUUAACUUUGAAAAAUCACCAAAAAUUUUAGAAAUCGAAUUAGAGGAUGAAUAAAAUAUGAAAUUAAAUCUUAUUGAGUCUAUUUUCUUAUAAAAGAAAUUAUGUAAGCAAUGGAAUUGUAAAUCAUGAGAUACAAUAACUUUUGUGAGACAAGGUCAGAAUGAUUUCGGGUUCCCCUGUUCUGAAUUUGGAAAAUCAUAAAAAAUUGGAUAAAAAUAAUUAGAGGCUUAAAUUUAUAUGUUUAGAAUCCUGAAUGAGUCUAUUUUCAAGAGAAACAACGAGGACAUCAUUCGAAUCUUGUACGAGAAGAUAAUUAAUUUUUAGUGAAGAAGGGUCGGAACUGUCAAACAGCAGAACAGGGGAGACUUCAAUGAAUAAAUUGUAUUAAUUGGCCCAACCAAAAAUUAUGAAAUUUUUAUGGUAAGAAUACAUAUGAGUCUAAUUUCUGAGAAAAUUUAUGGAUCUUAAUUUUGAGUUCUGUAGCUCAAGAUAAAAAUAAUUUAGUGACUAUGACACAGAUGGACAGCUUGAAUAUUCACAUAAGUAGAUAGUGAAAAUUAUGGAUAAUGUUACCUACAAGUGUGUUGUUUAUACUAAGGAUUUGGAUGGAGAGGAGGAGGAGGAAAAUAUACAAAAAUAUAUGAAUGAAUCGUGUAUAAAUUAAUCACAUGCCCGAUUAUAAUUGAUAAGUGUUGGAUUAGAAAUGAUAUAAUGUUUUAUUUGGAAUAUUUAUUAUGAAAUUAUGAUUAUCGUUAUAAUACAAAAAUUGAACUUGUGAGUUUAUAUGGCUAAAUUUUAGGGAUUAUUUGUUAAUUUUAUGAAUUUCAUGAUGUGUUAUUUUAUAUGUAUUGAUGAUAAAAUCGUUAUAAUGUAAAAGCAUGAAAAUUGAAUAAAUGAUCAAAUUGAGCAUUUCAGUUCAGUGACAAGAUGAAUUGAAGGAAAAGACCAUGGUUGGACCAUGGCAACAAGUGAUAAGUGAUAGCUUCGGCUACACUUAUCUGAUCAAUGACAAAUGACAAGUGAAAAGUUGUAGCUUCAGCUACCUGAUCAGUGAAAAGUGGUAGCUUCAGCUACCUGAUCAGUGAAAAGUGGUAGCUCCUGCUACCUAAUUAGUGAAAAGUGGUAGCUCCGGCUACCUGAUCAGUGAAAAGUGGUAGCUCCGGCUACCUGAUCAAUGAAAAAUGGUAGCUCCGGCUACUUGAUCAGUGAAUAGUGGUAGCUUCGGCUACAAGUGACAAGUGACAAGUGAUUUCCGUAUAAGACCAUAUCUGGGAUAUGGCAUCUGUGUGAUAUAUGCUACUGUAUAAGACCAUAUCUGGGAUAUGGCAUCAGUGAGAUAUGUGAUUCGUGGAAGACCAUAGUUGGGCUAUGGCAUCGAUAUAUGAAUAUGUGUAAGACCAUAGCUAGGCUAUGGCAUCAUUAUGUGAAGAUGUGUAAGACCAUAGUUGAACUAUGGCAUCGAGAAAACGAAGUACUCAAUUCCGUAAGACGUUCACUAAUUUGACAAAGUUUGGUAAGUGUUACAUGGAAUUAUGUGAUACAAGGAAGUACGAGUUGAUAAGAUACGAGUAUAAAACUUGUUUGAUAAAUGAACUCAUUUGUGAUUAUAUAAUUGUUCAUCUUGAAUGUACUGUCCAUAUGUAUUGAUAAUUCAAAUGUUUUAAUGAAUAAAAUUCCGAUAUGGAAUAAAUUGAACACGAGACAAAUAAUUAUGAAAUUGAACUUGGAAUUCAUGAAAAUGACGGUUAUUGAUAUAUGGAGACAUGAGACAUUGAUAUAUGAAUAUGGAAAAUGUUUGAUAAAUGUUUUUUUUCAUAAUUAUAGAAUUAUAUACCUCAUGUGUACUAUUUGCAUAAAGAUGAUAUUUCAAAUACUUUGGUUAUUUAAGCUUAAAUAUGAAAUAGUAUGAAAUCAAGCUAAGUUGUUAUGAAAAUAUAUUUAGAUUACAGAGAUAUGGCUGAUAUAUGUUAUAUGGUUACAUAACGUGAAAUUGUGUAUAUAUAUGAGAAAUUUAAUGAGAAUUAAGCCCAUACACGUUUCUUGUUAUUUAUAUGAAGUGUACAACUGACAAGGGUGAUGAAGUUAUAAACAGAGGGUUACACGGGUUGAAAACACGAGCGUGUGACUCUCCAAAGUGUGCAAAUUUUUUUAAGUGUUGCAAAAGUUUCAUAUGUUUACGGUUUGGUCCCGAACCACCCUGAAUGUAUGUUUUGGGCCUCGUAGGCCCAUAUAAGGGACGUUAAACAUAUGUAUGAAAGUUUUUAAUUUAGAAGAAAUUUUAUGGCUGAUUUUUUUACAUGAUUGAUCAUAUUAAGUUCGGUAAUGCCUCGUACCCUAUUCUAGGCUCGGAAUAUGUGUAGGGGGUGUUACAGUUCUGAUUUAUGUUUAUCUUCUAUCUCGGGUCUCGAGGCCCAUUAAAGGAACAAUAAGAAGACUUUAUGAACUGUGUAAUAAUUAUUUAUGUUUUAAUUGUAAUCGAAUUGUAAUGACCGGUAAUACUCCAUAAUUCUGUUUCGGUGACGUGAUAGGGUUGGGGGUGUUACAAAGUAUUUAUUGUGUAAAAUAAAAAUUGAAAGACAUAAUCCAUCACAAGGUUCAUCUCCCUAGGUAUUUAGAAAAUUAGUUUAUGCUUGAAAAUAAAAUCAUCCCAGAUACAGUAUAACCAAAAGAAAUAAAGAAACUCAUGACAAUUUCCUAAGAAAUCAAUGUGAAUCUUCAAUCUUGACAGAAAUCUGCUUCAAAAUCAAUUUUACUGGUGUUUUAUCUAGUGGUUUUCUUGAAUAUUCUCUAACAACUCACUCCUUUCUUCUUAUUUUUGUCAUAUAUACGUCUUAAAAUGCCCAAAAAACCUAAAAAUCGUGAUUUUUCACAGUUCGAUGUGUAAUCUCGUGAAAAUUGACAUGGCCUACCAUAUACCCGUGUGGGUCACAUGGCAAACUCUCAAAAGUUUAUAAUUAUCACAAAAAUUCUCUAAGGCGCAAAAAAAAACUGAAGCAAACUCUCAAACGAAAAAGGAAAAAACAAAUAGAAAAGCCACAAGAAAACUAAGCAUAUCAAGAUGAGAGUCCUAAGGGAUUUAAACUCUAUAGAAUCUUAUCCAUUAGGAUUACAAAAUAUUUACCUUGGUAACUUUAGUUUUACUAGAGUGCUCCACACGGCGACCAAGACUUCAAGUAGAUGGGCUUAUCCAUAUGUUCUACAAAUCGGACCAGUUUAAGUGGGUCAAAUGAACCCCAUUUAAUCAAUUGACCUCUAUGUGAUGCUUUGUAUACAUUCAUUAUAGGCUUUGAUCUGCAGCUCAUGACACAUGAACACAAACAAAUUAAAUUAUAAAUUACUGCCCCUUUACGCUAGAUUAAAACAAGUAGAGAUAUGAAGUACAAAGACAGGCGGUGUUUCUUCACUCACUGGUCAUUAAUUGCUUCCCUUUCUUCUAUAAAUGUUGUUCUUCUUAAAUAUUCAUUCCAUACAUUGUUCUUAAAUCAAUAGAUGAACAGUAUAUAUAGUUGGAGUUGCAGGUGUUAUAUAUACUUGCUUAUUUAUUUUUAAAGCAAUAUGUUUGAAUUUGAAUUAUAUUGCUUAUUUAUUUUUAAUGCAAUAUGUUUGAAUUUGAAUUAUAUUAGCACUACUGAAUAUUCAACACUCAGCAUAUGGUUAUGUUUGUUUUCAUGUGUAGGUCUCGGACGUAAGUAAACAUAGAUUUAAAUUGAUCAAGCAUCCAACUCAACAGCUUAACUCGAGAUACAUCUUGUUACUUCUUUUGUAUGUAUAUAUAAGUUUGGGCUAUACACCAUGUACCUAGGGUAUUUAUGACUUGGUGUUGAGCUUGCAUUUUGGCAUGCUUGGUAACUUGGCCUAUAUGGUUUAUAAAGUUGAAUUUCAUCGUUUGACCAAUAGGUAAUUCUGUUAGUUCAUAUGAGUUUGAAUAUGCGAAUUAGUUGAUUGGGCAUUGAUGCAUAAAUUACUAUGAAUUUAUGUUUGAUUAAGUUUAUAUGUGUCAAUUUGAGGCUUUUGUAUUAAUGUAAAGUUUAGGCAUGUUGUUUAGGUAUGUUGAUGGUUUUAUAUGUAUGGUUUGGAUGCUUAAAAUUAAGUAAAUAGGGUCAUUUUACUAUUUAGUCUUGAGACAAGAAGAACAUGUCUUAAAACCCUAAGAAUAAGUGUUUACUAUUUGGGAUGUUGAAAUGGCCUUGGUCGCAAGACUAACCUGUUAGGUCUUAAGACAAUUGGACACAUGUCUAGAGACAAUAAUGCAUCAAAGCUAAAAUAAGAAAAUGGGUGACGUCAAUCUCGAAAAAUGAAAGACCUUGUCCCAAGAUAUGCUAAAAUCGAAGCAAAAUUCUCAAAAAUGAAAUGUGGCAUGUCUCAAGAUAUCAUGUGAAAACUUGGAAAUUGAGUUUGAAUUCGAAUCUUAACUCUUAAAUCAACCUCACAUUUUGAUAAAUUAUGAUAUUAUAUAUUAAGAAUGUGUAUGAAUAUGUUAUAUGAAAUAAAUGAAUUGAAAUGAUUACUAUACAUUGACUGAUGUGUUCAAAAUGUAAGUUAGCCUAGGUUGUUUCGGUAAUGUAAUGUUACAUCACAUAGAGGUGUUCAAAUUUCUAUUGAAACCGAAUUAACUAACCAAACAAAUCUAAUUUGAUUAAUCCGUUCAUUAACCAAUCUAAUUCAGACGGAAAUCAAUUAAUAAUUUUUUAGAAGUUUGAUUAUUAAUUAAUUCGAUUCAGAAUCAGUUAAUUAAUUGAAUUAACUGAAAAAAAUAAUAUAUAUUAUAUAAAAUAUAUAUUAGCAGCCUACAACCCAUCCAAGCCCUAGCCACUACCUAGCACAGGUCCACUAACCCAACCUAAAUAAACAUUUAAAAUUCAAUCCAAUCCAGAUAAUUAAUUUAAUUAUAAAAUUAAUUUAUAUUAAAUAAAUAAUUUAAUAAAAAACUGAAACUCCUAAAAAAAACUAAAAAUAAUUCAGUAACUCACACCCUAUUUCGAUGUUUUUAAUCUCCCAAAAUCCCUAAUCGCAAAUACCUUCCAUUUGCUAAAGAAGAGGUUCGUUUUUUUUAAAGACAUUUUCUAUCUAUUUACUAAAGAUGUUUACCUUUGAUGACCCAUCACCAGAGAUCAUGGCCACCCUUAAAAUUGACGUGAAAGGAGUUGCCUUCUCACAUUUAGGGAAAAUUCUCCCAUGCUCUUCAAGCAUGCACACAUAUAUGUUUGGCUACUCUUGUUUACUGUCUUCCAAAUUAGAGAUGAUUUGGAGAGCAUCUCCUUCAACAAUAAUAGAAUGAUAUCCCAACACGUGCUUAUUCACUCACCCUCCGUUCCUCCCUUUUCUUCUAUAAAUCAUGUUCUUCUUGAUUAUUCGUUCCACACAUUGUUAUUAAAUCAAUGGCUGAGCAGUACAUAAUUGGAGUUGGAGGUGUUAUAGCCUCCCUUUUGGGGUUCCUUUUCUUGUACUGCAAUUCCCUCAUAAGAUUUAGGGGACUGAGGAAGCUAAAAAGAGCAGCUUCAAUGGAGUUUCCAAAGGGGAACAGUGUAAACAAAACUGGAAAUAGUGAGGGUGCUGGCACUACGGAUAUUAUCAUAGUCGGCGCCGGUGUUACCGGUGCUGCUCUUGCCUAUUCUCUUGGAAAGGUCCCAUUUUUUCUCCUUGUUCUUUUUUUUGUUCUUCCAUAGUUUUAAUCAUCUUAUUUUCCUCUUCCAGCAUAUAACAACUACUUUUUUUUUUUUUGGGUAAAAAUACGAUGUUCACCUCUUACUAAAAGUCGAAUUGCAUAUAAAUUAUUCUCUUUAUAUUAGAUCAAGUAGUAAACUGAUUAUUUCUAUUAAAAAUUUAAUCCACUUUUAUAGUUAAAAUUGAUGUGGCUGACAGAAUAUAAAUAGUUACACAUAGUGUGCCAUACCUUAUGUUAAUGUAUAGGGACCAAUUUUUAGUAGUAGGAACUGAUGGAUUUUUUAACAGAGGACUAAUUUGCUCUUAGAUCUAUUGUAUAAGGACUAAUUUGUUCAUUUCUUAGUAGAGGGGAUAAACACAAUUCGACUCUUAGUACAAGGCCCUCCAUGAUGCUUUUACCAAUUUUUUUUGAGGAACAAUUACUAAUUAAAUUUGCAUUUUAUUAUUAUUGGUUGAAGUAUUAUAUGGGAAGAUAAUAUUUCGAUAAGUUAAUUUAAUUUCAUGUGGAUCUGUGUUUAUCUUUUAUAAUAAAUUCAAAUUUUAAUUUGAUAGCAGAAUGAAAUAUUCAAUAUUUUCUUAAAUUGGAUUGGUUCUAAUUGAGAAUUGAUUACAGUAUUGGUCCAAAAGAAAUAAAAAUCAUUUGACUCAUGAAUGGUAUAAACUAAUUAAAUCGGUGAUUGAAUUUGUUGAUCCGGAUUUUAUAAUUUUUUUAUUUUUAUUUUUUAAAUUUUUUAAUAGUCUAUUUAUCUUAAAUAAGAUAAACAAAUAAAUCAAAAUUGAUGAUUUGACUAAUUUCACCAUCAAUGUAGAAAACAUAUUUGUAACUAAAUAUAUAUAUAUGAAUUUUUUAUAAUUGGUAAGGCACAAUAUGAAGUACUAAUAGUUAAAAUAUAUAUAAUUUAUUUUGACAGUCGGAUUUAAUUUUAUUUAUUAUAAAUGGAUAUAAGCAUUUGAAUUAUUAUCAUUUAUAUUAUUAGUUAGAAAAAAUUCUAUAAAUCUCGAUUAAGUCUUAGCUCAAUUGGUAUGAGUAUUAUUGUCAAUGCGCUAAAGCGUAUUAUUUUCUUAUUUAUGGGUUGGGGAGGAGCUAUAGUUAGUGUCGAAACCAUCUUUCAAAUUUAAAGAAAAAUGGGGAAUCGACUUUUUGAAAAUAAAACGUGGAGUCGCCACCAAUCUUUUUAUUUAGGUGUGAUUGGAUCACCAAGAAGUUUGGUCAUUCUAAUAAAAUACUUUGGCUUACUAAAACAACGAUUUUGGUCUACGCAAAUAUGAGAAAACAGGUUCGAGAGUCGGUUACGUAUGAGGAAGGAUUAGCACCCUCACUACGCCCAAAAUCGAUACCAAAUCAAUUAAAUAUUGUCCUUAUGUCUGAGAUUUAAAAGAGUUUUUGAAAUGUGAUUCCUUUUGAAGCGUUUGAAUGGCUCGAGUUGGUUGUCAAAAUUCUCUUGUUUCGGAGGAAUGCAGCAUCACAUCUAGCACGAUAGGACACGAUCCUUUAUACCCCCGAAAAUAACGAUGAGUUUUGACUUCCGAAAGCUUAUACAUUGAAAAUUACAAAAGGAUGCCCAAUUAUUCAGUCCAAUGAAAAAUCGAAACCCAGCACGGUAGGGUACGAUUCCCCGAAUUUCCAAACUUUGAACAUUGCCUUAUUUUAGAGUUUAGAGAACAUGAGUGAAAUUCUAAAGGGAUAUUCGAUUAUUUUGAACAAACAGGAAAUCGCAACCCAGCAUGAUAGGGCACUAUUCCCCGAAUUGCCAAACAUCAAACAUUACCUUCGUUUUGAAGAAUUUUUAAAGACAUGGGUGAAAAACAAAAGGAAUAUUCGAUUAUUUUGAACAAGCAAGAAAUCGCAACCCAGCACAAUAGGGCACGAUUCCCGAAUUGUCAAACAUCGAGUAUUGCCUUCGUUUUAAAGAAUUUUUAAAUGAAUAAUUAUAAAAAUAGCUUAAAACGCGUUAAUGCAACUUGAAAUAAAACGAAAUUAAUCUUAAAGAUUUGGACCUUAUAAAACCAAAUUUCGUAAACCAAGUGGAAAACAAUGAUAUGGGAUGAUGUACACACAUGAGAUACAAUCAAUUAACAAACUAAUAAUUAAGUAAAACUAACCUAAAAAAUAUAACCCGAUUACGAUCAUGCAUGGAAAAUAAUCGAUAUAAUAAUACAAAACAAUGAAUAAAUAAUAUGCAACGACAAUGUAUGGCACAAUAUAAAACAAUCGAUGCAAGAUGUAUAAAGCAAAAUAGCAAUUAAAAGUUAAUGUGAUAAAAGACAAUCUUAAGAUAAUGAUGACUUGGUGAAGACAUAAUACACAUAAUGUAUGAAUUGAUGAAUUUAAAAUAAUUUGUAAAAACAAACUAGAAAUAUAUAUACAUAAUUAUUAAAAUACGUGUUAUAAAAUAAAUAUAUUAAAAUCAAAUAAUGUACAAGGUGUCAAAACAUUUUAAAAAAACAUACAAUAAAGGAGAAUUUAAUAAUAUAUAAACAUGAAUAGGUAGCCAAGAUGCAUGAUAAAUAGAAUUUUAGAAAAUAUAUUAUAUACAUAAUGGAUUAAAAGCAUACACACACAUAUAUAUAUAAAAAAAUUUAAAAGUAAUUACAUGUGAAAACGACAUAGAAAUGAUAAUAUGUAUAGGAUUAAAUUAAUUUUAUUAUAGAUUAUAUACAUAAUAGAUUUAAAAACAUACCUAUAUAUGUUGUAGGUCAAUUUUGGCCCGUUUACAUCAAAACCCACUAAACCUACCCCAACCUAAACAAAGUUUAAACCUAUUAAAACUCGAAGCCCAAAAUUUCAGCCCACCUAACCAUUACCCAAACCCAAUAGCCUAACCUAACCCUAGCCCAAACAAAAUCAGAAAAAGAAAAAACCCUAGCCCCCCUUAAGUUCAGCCAUCGUACCAGCAUGCCCACACGCCUCCUCCUAGCCUGCUGCCACCACCUACUCCCGUUCCAUCACCUGCAAAAGAGAGACGAACACGCAACAGACAACACAGAGCAGUAGCAAAGAAACAAUAUAAUAUGUAUCCAAAUUGGCUGUAAAGCUAGAGAAAUAUAACACAAAAGGGGCCUCUUUUUUUUCUUUGCAAAAAUACAAAACAUUCGGGGAUAGUCUCAAAUCAAAAAAAUAUGCUGAAGAUCAAACCCAAAACCCAAGGUGAUUUUAUUUUUUUUCAUUUUUUUUAUUUUUUUAUUUUUGAAUUUAUUCGUUUGCAUGAAUAUAUAUAUUACAAAUAUAUAAAAAAAUAAUACAAAUAUAAUAUAAAAAAAACCUACCUUCUCGAUUUUUCACGGUGGCCGGUGACGGUGGAGAUGCGGCGGUGGACGGUGGCGGGUCACCGGAUUUGCUGACCGGGCCAUUGAACCUGCAGAGAAAAAAAAGAAGGGAAAGGAAGUUUUUUUAAAAAAGCAAAGGAAAGAAUGAAUUUUAAAAAAAAAAAUCUGACUUAUAUACGCCCCUAAAAUGACGUCGUUUUGGGGUUGGCCUUAAACACCCAAAACGACGUCGUUUUGAUGCAACCCGGAUUUGACCCGACCCAAUAGGCUGAGAUCCGCGUGUUUUUCAUUGGAGGGGCUAAUUGCACUUUUAGCCCCUCCGUUUUUUUAUGGUUUUGCAAUUAGAUUUAUUGUGCUUUUAAUUUGGCCCCAUGAUUUUGUUUCGUGUUCAUUUUGGUCCUCUCUUAAGUGCAGUGUUUUGGAGGGAAGGGAAAACCUCCCUUUUAGUCCCCCAUAUCAUUCGCGCACUUCAAAAGGGUCCCUAUUCUCUUUUUUAUUUCUGAUUUGACCCCAAAAUUUAGUUUUUAGUUCAAUUUUAGUCCUUUUUACUCAUUUUUUAUUUUUUUUAAUUUUGCUAUUUUAUAUUUAAUAUAAAUAAUGUAUAUUACUUAGUUUUUGUACUUUAUUAUAGUUAUUGUUAUAUUAUAUUAUACUUAGUAUUACUCUAAUAUUAUUUAUGAUAUUACAUCUUUAUUAUUAUUAUUAUAUGUUUUAUUAUAUAUGUAUAUAUCUUUAAUAUAUAUAUGUCUAUUGUAAUGGGCCAAAUCCGUCCGGGCCCAACACAAUGGCCCAAUGCCCAAAACAAGCCCAAACAACCUAAAAUUUUGGUCACUGGAAACCCUAGCAGCCUCCAACGUCGACUGCCCCCUCCAUACCUCCGUACCUAGUACCGUAUGGCCUCCACGGGCCACACACACCUGCAAACAGACAAGAAUAGCACAGCAAAACAGCAGCUGAGAGAAAAAAACAAAAAAUUCCUUGUAUUUUUCUUUUAUUUUCGGCUAUAUAGAAGCCCUAUGUUCAUGGAAAAAAAGAGGGGGCAUACACACAUACAUUAUACGAAAACUGAAUAGAAACAUUCAAAAACAAUUUCUGAAGAGGUGAUCUUUCUUAGUCUUUUUAAUCUUUCUGUCAUUUUUAUCUAUUUUCCAUCGAUUGUUUUCAUCAUUUUCAUUUUAAAACAAAGGAGGGGAAAAAGCAAACCUUACCUUGCGAAUCGGCUGUCGAAACCAUCUUUUUUUCAAAAUUUUAAAUGUAAUAAAAAAGGGGAAUUGACUUUUUGAAAAUAAAACAUGAAGUCGCCACUGAUCUUUUGUUUUGGUGUGAUCGGAUCACCUAAGAAUUUGGUUAUUUUAAUAAAAAAUUUUGGUUUACUAAAACAACGAUUUUGGUCUACGAAUUUUUGAGAAAAUGGGUUCGGGAGUCGGUUACGCAUGAGGAAGGAUUAGCACCCUCACUACGCCCAAAAUUGGUACCAAAUCGAUUAAAUGUUGUCCUUUUGUAAAACAUUUUUGAAAUGUGGUUCCUUUUCGAUAAUCAUUUGAAUAACCCGAGUUGAUUGCCAAAAAUCUUCUCGUUUCGACGUCCAAAAGUUUAUAAUUUGAAAAUCACAAAAGGAUACUUAACUAUUUGGUCCAACGAAAAACCGAAACCCAGCACAGUAGGGCACGAUUCCUUGAAUUUCCAAACAUUGAACAUUGCCUCGUCUUAGGAAAUACGAGUGGAAUUCUGGAGGGAUCUUCGAUUGUUUUGAACAAAUGAAAAAGCGCAACCCAGCACGAUAGGGCUCGAUUCUCAAAUCGCCAAACAUCGAACAUCGCUUAUUUCUUUUAAAAUCCCUUAAACGAAGGUGAUGUGCGAUAUUUGGCAAUUCGUGGAAUCGUGCCCUAACGUGUUGGGUUGCAAUUUCUCGAUUGCUUAAGAUAAUCAAAUAUCCCUUCAAAAUUUCACUCAGGUCUUCUAAAAAUCCUUUAAAACGAAGGUAAUACUCGGUGUUUAAUAAUUCGGGAAUCAUGCCCUAUCGUGCUGGGUUUUGAUUUCUCAUUUGUUCAAAAUAAUCGAAUGUUCCUUUAGAAUCUCACUUGUGUUUUUCUAAAUCCUAAAUAAAGGCAAUGUUUGAUAUUUGGCAAUUCGCGGAAUCGUGCCCUAUCAUGCUGGGUUGCAAUCUCUUGUUUCUUCAAAAUAAUCGAAGGUCCCUUCUGAAUUUCACUUACGUUUUCUAAAAUCUCUUUAAAACGAAGGCAAUACUCGGUGCUUGGCAAUUUGAGAAUCGUGCCCUAUCGUGCUGGGUUGCGAUUUCUCGUUUGUUCGAAACAAUCGAAGAUUCCUUUGGAAUUCCACUCAUAUCUUUAAAAACUCUUCAAAACGAAGGUAAUACUCGAUGUUUGGCAACUUGGGGAAUCGUGCCCUAUCGUGCUAGGUUGCAAUUUCCUGUUUGUUCAAAAUAAUCUAAUAUUCCUUUAGAAUUUCACUCAUGUUUUUUAAAAUUCUAAAAAUAAGGCAAUGUCUGAUAUCUAGAAAUUCGAGGAGUCGUGUCCUAUUGUGCUGGGUUUCGAUUUUCUCGUUGGACUAGAUAAUGGGUAUCCUUUUACGGUUUUCAACAUAUAAACUUCUGGAACUCAAAACUUAUCAUGUUUUCGAGGGUAUAAAGGAUCGUGUCCUAUCGUGCUGGAUGUGAUGCUAUAUUCCUCUUAAGCAAGAGAAUUUUGAUAACCAACUCGGGUUAUUCAAAUGUUAUCGAAAAGGAACCACAUUUCAAAAACGUUUUACAAAAGGACAGCAUUUAAUCGAUUUGGUACCAAUUUUGGGCAUAGUGAGGGUGCUAAUCCUUCCUCAUACGUAACCGACUCCCGAACCCGUUUUCUCAAAAAUUCGUAGACCAAAAUCGUUGUUUUAGUAAAUAAAAAAUGUUUUAUUAAAAUAACCAAAUUCUUAGGUGAUCCGAUCUCGCCAAAAUAAAAAGCUCAGUGGCGAUUCCACGUUUUAUUUUCAAAAAGUCAAUUUCCCCCGUUUUUUCAUUAGAUCCAAAAUUUUGAAAAAAGAUGAUUUCGACAUCUAUAUUUAUGUAGUAUUAUUAAUAAUUGUUUUGUAACAUUAUUAUUAUUUCUAAUAUGUAUAUAUCAUGUAUAUAUUUUAAUACUAUAUUAUGUAUAUAUUUUAUAUAUAUUAUAUGUAUAUAUAUUUUUAAUAUUAUAUUUUUUAUAUAAAUUAUGUAUAUAUUUUUUAAUACCACAUUAUUCAUAUAUUUUUUAUAUUAUCCCAUAAAUACUUUCAAUACUAUAUUAUGCAUAUAUUUUUGUCUAUAUUAUAUAUAUACUUUUAAUACUCAAUACUAUUAUUAUGAAUAUAUUUUUGGUAUAUGUAUGUAUAUAUAUAUUUCUUUUAUUAAUAUAUUAUUAUCAUUAUUUUUUUCCACUUUAUAUUAUAUUAUUUUUAUUUUUUUGCAUACUUAUACUUAUUUCAUUACUACUUCAAUAAUUACCAUUAUCACUAUUAUUAGUAUAAUCAUUAUUUUCUUUUCAUCAUUAUUAACAUAUAUAUACACACACACACACACAUAUAUAUAUAUUUAUAUUUAUGUACAUAUUGGUAUUUUCUUUUAUUGUAAAUAUUGUUAUUGUUAUUUUAAUAUUCUUAGAUUUUAAUAUUUUUUUAUUAAUUGUAUCAUUGUUUGCAUUAUUUACGAAUUCUUAUUAUAAUAAUGUUUUAUUCAUAUUUUUUAAUUAAUUUCAAUAAAUAAGGCAAUGUGCCGAUUUAACAUUAAGUCGUUGAUUUCAUCGCUAUAUUGGGUGAAUAUCACCGGCUCGUGUUAAAAACGAAACGCUCUUCUCAAAAGAAACUGACAUUUUAAAAAUUCUCAUGUUUUGAUCGGAUCACAAUUAAAAUUCAAAUUGAAUUCAUAUUUUUGAAAAUCAAGACAACACGUGUUUAACAAGAUACCAAUUUUGGGUGUCGCAAGGGUGCUAAUACCUUCCUCGCACGUAACCGACUCCCAAACCCAACUUUACUCUGGCUUUUGACGUAGACCUAAACUCGGCUUUCUUUUUAUUUAAAAAAUAAAUUUUCUUUUAAAAAAGAGGAUUUAUUAGGUGUCCGAUCACACCUAAGAAAGACGAUCGAUGGCGACUCUUUUUCUUUUUAAAAAACCGAAAUUCCAUUUUCAAAUUUUCAAAUAAUCGCCUCAACUAGCGACCGAAAGCGAAAAAUUUUUACGUCGCUAUAAUAUAUAUAAGGAGAACUAUAUGUAUAAAAUACAUGUAUUUAAUAAUAUAUAUAGAUUAAAUAUGAGUAUCAAUAAAUAUGUGUACAUAUAUGAUAAUAACUUAAAAGAUAUAUUAUGUAGGACUAUAUAAUAAAAUAUAAGAAUAAAUUUAAGAGAAAUCAUAUGUAUAAAAAAAUAAGGUUAAUAAUAUAUAUGAAAUGAAAUUAACUUUAAUAUAAAGUAUAUAUAUAUGUAUAAUAGUGUAUAAAUAAAUUUUACACGAAAUAGUGUACAAAAUGUGAGAAUACAAUCACCCGAAUGUCAAUAAAUAAGUAAGAAAACGAUACAAAUAGUACAAUCAACACAAAUAAAUAACACGAAUAAAAAAACUUGAAAUAAAUCUAAAAAGAAACUUAAUUGAAAUCAAAUUAAAAUAAAGAGAAUAAUUUACAAAUACAUUAAACUGCGGGUAACAAAAUAAGGACCGGCACGUAAUGUGUACAAAUACACAAGGACUAAAACUAGAAUUAUUCCAAGCCCCAAAACGUUGUGUUUCAUUACGGACUAAAAUGAAACGCGCGUGAAUUAUAAAGGCUGAAUUAAAAAAGAAAUGAAACAAAUGGCAGCCCAUUGAGCCAUUAUACGAAUAGGGAGGACCAGAUGCAUAAUUAACCCAUUUUGAACAAUAGGCGCGGAUCCGGCUUGCUAUUCGGGUUGGCGCGCUGAUCCUAAUAGCUGAAAGGUGUCGUUUUUGUAGCGACGUAAAAAUUUCGCUUUCGGUCGCUAAUUGAGGCGAUUAUUUGAAAAUUUGAAAAUGGAAUUUCGGUUUAAAAAAAGGGAGUCGCCACCGAUCUUUUUUCUAGGUGUGAUCGGACACCUAAUAAAUCAUCUUUUUUAGAAAAGAAAGUUUAUUCUUGAACAAAAACGAAGGCCAAACUUGGGUAUACGCGAAAAUCCUGAGAAAAAUAGGGUUUGGGAGUCAAUUACGCACGAGAAAAGUAUUAGCACCCUCAUGACGCCAAAAAUUGGUAUCUUUAUUAAACACGUGUUGUCUUGAUUUUCAAAAAUACGAAUUCAAUUUGCCAUUUAACCGUGAUCCGAUUGAAAAACGAGAAUUUUUUAAAACACGAAAAUUUUGAAAACACGAAAAUUUUUGGGAUCCGAAUUUUUUUUUUAAAACGCGAAAAGUUUACAGCAUUAGAAUUUUGACAAAUUACAUAUCCUCAUCUACAUUUUAAAAAUAAAGUUUGAUCACUUACCAAUAAUCACAAAAAUAAAUAUCUUAUUUCAAAACACGAGAAUUUUUAAAUUUUUCGAUUUUUUUAAAAAGGACGUUCCAUUUUUAACACUAGCUGAUGAUAUUCACCCAACAUAGCGAUGAAAUCAAUGGCUUAAUAUUAAAUCGGCACGUUGCCUUAUUUAUAAAUAAAAAGAAGAAGAAAAAAAUGAAUAAACUAUUUUUUUUAAAUAAAAAUUCAUAAAUAAAUAAACGGUGCAAACAUGAUAUAAUGAAGUGAUUAAUAAAAAACAUUAUAACAUAAUAUUAAGAUAUUAGAGUAAUAACAAAUAAUAUUUAUAAUAAAAGAAAAAAAAAGUAAAAAUGUAUUAAUACCACAAUAAAAUAAUAUAUGUAUAAUAACAAUAUGUACAGAAAGAUGUAUGUAUACCAAAUAAUACAUAAUAAUACUAAAAUAAAAUAAUAAGUAACAAUAGUGAAAAUAAUAAGCAUAAUAAUAAAUAUAAUGAUAUAUAAAAAUAAUACUAUAUAUAAAAGUAUAUAUAUACGUACAAUAAAAUAUAUACUAAUAUUAAUAAUAAAUAUAACAGGGGUAAAAAUAAGUAUAAUAAUAUAUUAGAUAGUAAAAAUAAUAAUAAUAACAAUAAUAAUAAUAAUAUGUGAAGGUUGAGAAAAAUAACAAUUAAUAAUAACCAAAGUUUUAAAAUCAUAAAGGGACAUAAAUAAAUGGUAAAACAAAGUAAAAUAAAUGUAUGUAAAAAAAAGGAAUAGAUAAAUAAAUAUAAAAGAAAUAUAAUAGUAAUAGUAAUAGUAAUAAUAAUGCAAAGCUAAUUAAUUUAAUAAUAUGAUAAUAAUAAUAGUAAAGUAAAAGGAAAACAAUGAAAGGGAAAUACGGGGAAAUAUAUAUAAGGAAAUAAAUAAUAGAUGGAUAGACAAAUAAAUAAAUAUUAGCAACGUGAAAAUGAUAAAAUAAUAAAUAUUUAAAUGAAGAUAAUAAGAACAACAAAUAUUUAGAAAGUAAGCAUUAAAGUCCUUAAUAUAUAUGUGAGGGAUAUAAUAUAACAAACAGAUGAAUAAACAAAAAAAAAAAAGAGUCUGAAAUGAAAUAAGCGCAAAAGUGGAGGACCGAAUUGGGAAUAUUCCCAUACCAUCAAAACGGUGCCACUCCAACCAGUACUAAAAUGUAAUUAAAAUAAUAUUUUGGGCGGAAUUUAAAAGUAACAAUGAGCUGAUUUGAAAGGACCAGAAAGGAGGAGAGAUCAUUUACACAAUUUGUCCCAAAAGCAAAAACAUGCUUGGCCUAGUAUUUGUGACGCCAUUUCAUCUUUGUUAUUUUUUUUUUAUUUUUUAUUCUUUACUUCAUUUUUUGUUUAAGCAAACAAAGAACACCCUACCUCUUUUCCCCUUUUUCGGUUAAGGUUUCUAAACUCAUUUUUGCCGCCGUCAUUGUGGCUCUUUGAAACCGCCGGGGCUUCCACCGUCGACAGUGGUCAGGGCCACCAAGAUCCAGGUAAAUUUUUCUUUUUUCUUUUUAUUUAAAAACGAUUUAUAAUGAAAAACUAUGAGAUUGAAUCGAAAGAAAACAAAAAAAAAAGGAAAGAAAUAAACUAAAGGAAUAAGAGAAAUAGAGAUUAAAAUCCACCUUUUUUCUUCUGUUGUUUUGCUUUUUGAUUUUCAAUACAUUUGUCUAACAAUCUUUUUCUUUUUUUUCAAAACAGAACAACAACCAAAGGAAAUCAAAACUAAAAAAAUCCUCCCCUUUUUUCUUUUUGCUUGGCUUUUUAUAGCCAUUUUACAAGUUUUUUUAUUACUACUUUUGCUAUUUUUUUUUGUCUUGCUUGUUUGCUUUAUUUUUUGCAAUGUAUGGAAGUGACUGGUGGGGUUGUCAGAGGCAAGUGGCACCGAAAGUUGAGGCUAGGGUUAGGUUUUCCCUUCUUUCUUUUUUUUCUAAUUUGGGCUAUAUUAUUGGGCUAGGGAUUUUUAUAUUUUUUUAAUUUUAGGUUUGGGUAGUUGGGUUAAUUUAGAUGGAUGUGGGCUGAUUGAGGUUUGGGUAAGUUAGGUGGUUUUUUUUUUGUUGUAAAUGGGUUUAAUUUGUGGUAGGCCAAAAUUGGCCUGCAACAGUUUUUUUUAAUGUUAAAGGUUCCUACUCCCACUUAUUUUCUUUCCCAAAACGCAGAUGAAAAAGAAAAGAAAGGAGAACCCCUGCUCUGCUAGGGUUUGGCUCAUUGCGCAGCCACUAAACCUCCAUUAACUUGAUGGCCAAUGGCGCGAACGACGGCCAGAUCUGGUACACGCCCAUGGAGGUAAGCUCUUUCCUUUUCUUUUUCUUCUUAAGAAAACUCAAGUCAUGCAUUAUUCCUUUUAAAAACAAAGCAUAAAUUCAAAAGCAUCAAAACAUUCGACCCUCGCCCGAAUCUCUGUAUUUUCGAGAAGUUUUUGGCCUUUCAUCAGUGUCGAUUCACAUGUUAAAAAAGAAAUCAAGCCAAUGAAAAGAAAAAAUAAAUCGAAAGAAAAAGGGACAAAGAAGCUUGAAAUCACCUUUACUAUUUUGAUUUCUUUUUCUCUGUUCUAUAUGCGUGUGUUGCGUAAAAAAAAAGGAAGACCCUUACAAUCGCUGUAUUCUUGGCUUUAUAGUCGAAACAGAAAAAGAAUAAAACAAAAUGCAAUGUUUCUCUUUCUUUUUUUGCUGCUGUUGUGUUCGUCCUUUUACAGGUACGGGGUAUGCUGGCGCUUGGCGUGGGGCGUACGGGAGUUGUGCGCUGGGGGCUGCUGAGGCGUACAGAGGUAGUUGGUGCGUCGUACGGUGCGAGGGUUGGGGCUUGGCUGCGGCACGAGGGAGAGGGCCCUAGGGUUUCUGAAACCUUGACAUUUUGGGCUUUUCGGGCCUGAUCUUGCAGUUGGGCCACAAGUUUUUGUAAUUGGAUUGUAAACUGGAUUGUUAUGAUUUGAAUUUUUUGGUCUUGUAUUUGGGUUAGAUUUUGGUUAAGUUUAAUAUUGGACUUUUAUUUUUUGUUUUGUUUUGUUUUUUUUUUUGGGUUUCUAAUGGGUCGGGUAAAAAUGGCCCAUUACAGUUAGUUCUAAGCAUUGUUUCAAAAAAAUACUAUAUAUAAUCAGAACUUAUAAUGAGAUUAUUAAAAGAAAUCUAUAAAUAAGUUUAAUAAAUUUUGUAAGUCCUUUAUUUAUUAAUUUUUAUUUUUUAAAAGGUUUAAUUGAUAAAUUACACCCUAAAAUAUAUCUAAAUAUUUUUUUUAAACUAAUAAUUAAACAAUAAUUCAUUUAAUGCAAUAUCAAUAAAUAAUUAUGAUUUUAUAAUAGUAUUUAUAUUAAUAUUAAUUAAAAAAUUAUAAUAACAUUUCAAAAAUUCCCUUUUAAAUCAUUUAAAAAUUUUCAAAAUAUGAUUACCCUCAAUCAAACAUUCAUUGAAAAAAUUUAGUUUCAAACUUUUUGCAAUACAUAAGCAAGAAAUAAAUAUCAUUUAAUUUCUAUAAGAAAAUGUGCCAAUUAAACAUUAAUGAAAUUCAAUAAGAUGCAGUAUUCAAGCAAAGUCAUGCAUCAAAACAGUGUGACAACAAGAAUUAAUGGAUGAUCACAUUAUCAACAUUUGCAUAUUAAUGAUAAAAGUAAUAAAGCUUAUGCAAAUAAAACUUUGUUGAAGAUUAGAUCAAAGAUCCAAGACAAUUGCCUUUCUUGUUAAACCACUAGCGUUUCUUCUGAUCACUGCUCAAAUAUGGGGAAGCAACCACACUAGUUGUAGUGGUUCUUGUUGCAACAUAGAAGUUGGGAUGAUUUGCAGUGGUGAUUCACAUCGUUUAAAAAUGGUGUAUAAAAGUCUAAUGCAUUUUGGCACAACUUUGGCUUAUAUCCUAAAGCCCCUUUUCUCUUGUGAUGGAGAGGGCUUUUCUAGAUGAGGGGGUGCUUUUAUACGGGUGACUUGAGCAGAAGCGCCCAUCCAAAUUCUGCACGAACUUACAAUCGAGUAAACAAAGUUGAGUCCGUGACACAUUAUGAGCUUAAGUAUAUUCUUCGAUAGAAAUUUUUUUAGCUAACUGGAUAGUAAAAGCAGCAUUAAGUAUUCCUAAAAAGAUUUUUUAUCUUCGAUGAAUCAUCAUCAAAGACCAUGAUCACCUUUAAAGCCGAUAUGGAAAAUUCUCUCAUGUGCUCCAAACUUACACUCUACCUGUGCGAAUUGCAGAACUCCCCACAUUUAUUGAUUGUCUUUUUAGGGCCUUGUCCCUCUUUAGUCCCACAAAAUAAAUAAUUUAAUCUGUCUUUUUUCCUUUUUUGUUUCUUUUUGCAAUAAUAAUGCAUCCUUUUUUUUCCAUAGCGUGUGGUGGAGGUACUUCAGUCAUCAAUCAUAGUUUUUGCUAGAGAAAUGUCUUCUUCAUUUCAUUAAUCAUUUAGAGCAUAAGCAAUUACAACUUCAUGAAAAAAAAAGGGUAUUCUUCCAUCCACAUAACAUCAUCACUGUAUUGCAAAAAUUCCUUAGAUUUCAUACUUGCCAAUGCUUCUGUAUUUUUCCGAAAUUAAAUUGAAAUGCACCAAAAGAAAUCGUCUAUUACUACUUUUAGUUAAAUUUAAAUGAAAUACAAAAGGACACAAAAAGUAAUUGCCUAUAUAAAUAUAUUACUUUUGUAGAGGUUAUUUUAUUAUCUAUAUAGUAUAAUGUUGGGUAAACUCCAGUUAAGCAACGAACGGUAAGAAUGGUAACGAUAUGGCUUUUUUUUGGCGAUGGGAGGUCUUAACCGGACGCAAAUGUUUAAAGUUUGGUGGUGAAAUUUUGUUUUGUAGAAUUAGCGGGUUGUUUAUAUCUUUUCAUGGUCUGUGUUCUAAGUUCUGUUUGCUGUAAGUUUGAAUUGUUUGGUUGCUAGUCUGUAUUUUCUUUGACAACAAUGCGGUUUUAAAUGAAGAAAAAAAAAACUCGAGUUAAGCAACGAAUAAGAAUAAAUAGAGACAAAUCCGAUACAAAUAUUUACAUGAAAAAACUUCUCUUAAGAAGAUAAAAAGUUACAGGUAAAAAAAAACUUCACUAGAAUGGCAAAUAACUGAAGAGGAAUACAAGAUAGAGAAACAAAAAACAAAUUCGAACUCAAAAAUACAAAGUUCUUACGAAAUUCCCACAAAACUCUCUCUUAUCCGUGAGAAAAUAUAAAACAUCUCUAGAAUAAUCAGAGUUAGACUAAAAAAAGAUGACAGAGUUUAACUAUGAGAUAAAAUUUGGUUUAGUAGAGAACAUGUCGUCACGUUGUGAUGUGGCGUAUUGCCUUGUCGAUACGUCAUUCUUCGCAUCCUCAAGACAUUGUCUCUUUCUCGUCCAAACAUCAACCCUAUUUCAUCUAAAAUGCGAGGGCCCAAAUCAGAUUUGCAAAUCACAAUAAUUUAACAUGCUUGAUAUUGACAUAUUGUAAACAUAUUAUACACAUAUUGAAAUAUCUUAUUUGUCAAUUGUGGUGAUUAUUAUAUGCCAUUGCACGCUUAUCUUCUAUAAAUGAUGCUCUUCUUGAUUAUUCAUUCCAUACAUUGUUCUUAAAUCAAUGGCUGAGCAGUACAUGGUUGGAGUACUUGGAGGUGUUAUAGCCUCUCUUUUGGGGUUUGUUUUCUUGUACCGCAAUUCCCUAAUCAGAUUUAGGGGACUGAGGAAGCUAAACAGAGCAGCUUCAAUGGAUUUUCCAAAGAGGAACAGUGUAAACAAAACUGGAAAGAGUGAGGGUGUUGGCACUACGGAUAUUAUCAUAGUCGGCGCCGGUGUUGCCGGUGCUGCUCUUGCCUAUUCUCUUGGAAAGGUCUCAUAAAUUCUCCUUUUUUCUUUAUUUUGUUUUACCCUAAUUUAAUCAUCUUAUUUUCCUAGCAUAUAACAAUUGCUAAUUUUUUUUAGUAAAAGUAUUAAAGAGGUUCCUAGUAAAUUUUUAUAUUAAGAGUCGCAUUGUAUUUUAUCCCUUUUACUUAAAAAAUAGGUAAAUUACUUUUUGUAGGUUAGAUUAAAUAAUAAACUGGUACUUUCUGUUAAAAAUUCCAUCUAUUUUUACUGUUAAAAUUUGGCGUGGUUGAUGGUGUAACCAAACAGUUACACACACUGUAUUAUGUGUACCUCAUGCUAACGUACAAGAACUAAUUUUAAGUAAUAGAAGUGGAUAGAAUUUUUAACAGAGAAUCAGAUUGCUUUUUAAUAUAAUGGGACUAAAUUAUUAUUUUUUAAAUUGAGAGACAAAAUACAAUCCAAUUCUUAGUACAAAAACCUCCGUGAUACUUUUACCAAUUUUUUUCAAAGGAACAAUUACUAAUUAAGUUUGCAUUUUAUUAUUAUUGGUUGAAGUGUUAUAUGGGAAGAUAAUAUUCCGAUAACUUAAUUGAAGUUCACGUGGAUUUGUGUUGAUUUUUUAUAAUAAAUUCAAAUUUUAAUUUGAUGGUAAAAUGAAAUAAUCAAUGUUGUUUGAAAUUCGAUCGGUUCAAUUUGGGAAUUAAUUUAAAGUACUGGUUUUAAUAAUUUAUUUGAUUUAAAUAAGAUGAACAGAUUGAAUUGAAAAUCAAUAAUUUGAUCAGUUUAACGACCGAUCCGAUUUAAAAAUAAUAACUAUAACGGUGUAAUAUCAAGUAGUAGUUAAAAAAAUAUAAAAUCUAUUUUGACAGUCCAAUUUGAUUUUAUGCAUGUAAUUUAAAAUAUAAAAUUGUAAUAUGUAUGUCCUUUAUUUAUUAGUUCUUAUUUUUUAAAAUGUAAUUUAAGCGCAUUUGGUAAUUUGAUAAUAUUUACUUGUAGAAAUUUUUUUUGAAAAGUUUAUUAUUACAAAUAGAGUAAAUGUAAAAGUAUAAUAUAUGCUCAAGUAAUUAUAUUGUAGAAUUAAACUUGUAAAAGGACAAAAAGAAAACAAUCAGAAUGAAUCUAAAUAAAAAAACAUACAUGGUAUACACACAUGAUGGAAUUAGAGAUUUAUAUUUUGCAAUUGUGCAUGAUUGAACUCAAACUCGGGUGCUUAAGAAUUCAGAGUCUCUGCAUUAAGCAACACUGCCAAGAUUUCACUGGCAUUCAAAUUUGGAUUUCACUGUGAUACCAUACGUAACAAUUCUUAACAACUUACAUUUUAUAGGAUGGACGUCAAGUGCGAGUAAUAGAAAGGGACUUAAAUGCCCCUAAUAGAAUGGCUGGUGAAAGUCUAACACCAGGGGGCUACUUAAAGUUAAUUGAAUUAGGCCUUGAGGGUAAGCAUGAAAAAUCAUGGAUUUAAAUAGUAGAUGUAAUAUAAUGUUAUAAUGUUAUUUCUUUAUAUAAUUAUUUAUUUUACUUUGAGUGUUGGUUCUAUAGAUUGUGUAGAUGAGAUAGAUGCGCAACAGCUUUUAGGUUAUACUCUAUACAAGGAUGGAAAGGAGGCUCGCGUAUCUUUUCCUUUGGAAAAGUUUCAGUCUCAUGUUGCAGGAAGAACAUUUCAUAAUGGUCGUUUCAUUCAAAGGUUGAGGAAAAAAGUUGCAUCUCUUCACAAGUACUUUCUCUCCCUCCUCUCAAUCAUUCUUCAAUAUCAACAUAAGAUGCCAGAACAUUUUAUCUUAAAGGAUUAAGUGAUUUGUAGUUUGUUUUAACUCAUUGUUUUUGUUUAGACCUGUCAAUUGAGCUAGUUGAGUCGAUUUUGAGUCAAGUCAAUCUAGAUCAAGUCAUUCAAGUUAUACAAUUUUUUUUACGUAAAUUCGGUUUUAGUGAGCUUAGAUUCAAGUCAUUUUAGGUUUGGGUUAAAUUCUGGUUUGGACCGUUACAAGUUUGGAUUCGAGUCUUUUUGGGUUUAGGUCAAUAGGGCUUGAAGCUCGAGUUUUUAAGGUCAGCUAAUGAUAGGUUCAUGUCAUUUAAGGUUAUAGUCACCUCGAUUUUUUAUAUUUUUAACUUACUUGUUUGGAUCAUUUCAGGUUUGAGUGGUCAAUUUAUGUUAGGGUAAAACGAGGUUCGGUUUAGAGGGAUUCAUGUUGUUGACCAUUUAUAGUCAAAUCAAGCCAAGUUUAGGUUUGAAUUGAUCAAGUUAUAUUUUAGGCUUAAGUUAACACGGACAAGUUCGUUUCUACUUUAUUAACUUGUUACAACAAUUUAUUAGAAAGAGUACAUUUGAAAUUAUACUUUUUCUUUACAAGAUCCAAUUUGAUGCUUUGAUGUUAUGAUAAUGUAGCGUAAGUUUAGAACAAGGGACAGUAACAUCUCUUAUUGAAGAAAAUGGUAUUGUCAAAGGAGUGCACUACAAAAAUGGGAGUGGUAAACUAUUGACAACUUACGCUCCUCUCACCAUUGUAUGUGAUGGCUGUUUCUCAAAUUUGAGACGCUCUCUUUGCUAUCCUAAGGUGAAAAUGCUUAGAAAUUCUUGUUAAAUUUGUUCAAUUAUGGUUUCUGUUUCUCUAUUAUGCUAAAAUUUUAUAUUUAAUCAUUCUACUUUAUUUUGAUUUAAUUUAAAUCUAUUUAUUUUUAUAAUGUUAUUGUAUGUCCAAAUUGAUAAUAUUAUUAAUUCCUUUUUAUUACAAAUGAUACCUACUAAUAACAUUGAGAGAUACUUUUUUUUCGCAAUUAAAGAAAAAAGAUUAAAUUCUAAUUAUAGGAUAAUAGAGGGACUAAUCCUAAAUUCUAUGCUUUGAGAAAAUAUUUUAAGGUCUAUAGUUUUUUUUUCUGCAGGUUGAUAUACCCUCUAAUUUUGUUGGUCUUACACUGACAAACUGUAACCUUCCAAAAGAAAAUUAUGGAGCUAUUAUAUUAGCAAACCCUUCACCAAUCGUAUUUUAUCAAAUUAGCAGCACUGAAAUUCGUUGCAUGGUGAAUGUUCCUAGUGAAAAGUUACCUUCAGUUUCCAAUGGUGAAAUGGCAUGUUACUUGAAAACUCAGGUGGCUCCCAAGGUAUAUUUAGAUCUUUCUUUUAUUCAUUCAUUAGGGGAAUUUGGCUUAGUUUAUGGACUAACUGUAUGGCUUAUAAUACACUUCAGGUUCUUCCUGAAUUGUACGAUUCCUUUAUAUCUGCAAUAGAGAAGAAGGGUAACAUAAGAAUAGCGCCGAAUAAAAUCAUGGCUGCUGCUCCACACCUGACUCCUGGUGCGCUUUUGAUUGGAGAUGCACUCAACAUGCGGCACGCUAUAACCGGAGGGGGAAUGACUGUUGCUCUGUCUGAUGUUGUAAUACUUAGGGAUCUUCUAAGACCCUUGCAUGAUUUAUCCGAUGCAUCCCCCAUUUCUAAAUAUCUCGAAUCUUUUUAUACCCUGAGGAAG